UUACACAUGCUGCAAUUUUGCCACACAAAACACGCCUCCAAAGAAACACAACAACUAAGACACCAAAGCCACACUGAAUAGAAUUUGUCCCUUCUUUUCGCACUUACGUUUUUUUUUUUUUUUUUUUGCAUCCUGGAAGUCCUCUUCUUGUGUUCCUCCAUUGCUACCACAAUAAGCUCAUCAAUGUUGCCAUCAAUUUGAUCAGCCCAACGGAAGUGAUUAUAGUACAUACCCAUUAACCCCCUCAACAACGUUAACCAAAGAAAACUUCAAUAAAAAAAUAUGUUCAGACAAAUUAAAAACAAGAAAAACCAAUUUCACCUUCCAAUUAGGGCAACCCUAGAAUAAGUGUCCAAGAUUCUUAGAGCUAUGCGAAAUAACAAGCACCUCCCUGUCCUCACACAAGCAUUUUUUCCAUCUAGGAAUAACGGGUGUCAGAGAUGAUGCUGACGACACACUGCCAUCAACUAAAGAGAAAUCUCUCAAGGUUGAUGAAUCUACUCUUCGAUAAGGAGGCAUGGUGAUAGGUGGAGACUGGUGAUGGCCGAAAAAGCUCAAUGGUUAGGGGUGGUGGUGGGACUCAUGAUUGAGAGAGAAGCUCAAUGGUUGGUGGUGGGGCUCAUGAACCAGUGAGGUUUAGGAGACAGUCCACUUUAAAGAAAACAUUUUUAUUUUAAGUUAAUUUUUCAAUUUAAUAUUUAAUAAUGAAAAUAAAAAAUAAAUCCACAUCAGCGCUAUUACAACAUGACCUUUAGGAACAAGCCAGGUGUAAAAACAUUUAAGUAGUUAAUGGUGUAACCUACGUUAAGCACUAAAACAGUGGAUGGAAAAAGAACUUUAGGAAUGAAGAUCAAUCCUCCAAAGUUAAAAAGACCAAAACCAUAAAUGUUCAAAGGUUGGAGAACCAAAACCAUAGUUCACCCUUAAUAUAAUUUUUAUCUAAUAAAAAUUAGUCUAUUAAUAUCAAGAGUUUGAUUUUUAUAUAUUGUCAUUGUAAACAAAUUUAUACUAAUUAAAAAUCAUCAUUAAUAUAACUUUUAAGGGACAAAUAAAUACUAUAUAAUAUAUUCAUGGUAUAUAUAUAUAUUAAUUUUUCAAAUAGAACCAUUGUCUCACACGUAGGGGGGAAAAUUAGUAAAUUUGCACUGCAACAUUCUUACGAGGCUCAAACUCAUGUGCGUCAUCACCCAUGCCCCUACUAGUCACUUUAAAAGCCUUAGACACAAGUUGAUAGAUUAAUUCUAGGGUGCGCAAGUGUAUCUUGAGACAAUGCGAGACACUUGCAUUUUAGACUACCAUUGAAAUAAAACAAAAAAAUUAGAUUAUUUUUUUUAAAAGGAAAAAUAAGUAAGAUUUAAUUAUAUUCUUAUUGUGAUUUCCAUUUGUAUAGUAUUUUAAAAAAAUAAUUCUAUUGUAAUUAUGAUAAUUAUUAAAUUUAUAAAAAUAUAUUCCUACAUUAUAAAUUAGACUACACAAUUUUAAAAAAUUACUUUACUUAAACAUUUUAAAAUUUCCUAAUUAUCAUUAUAAACUAUUAUAAAAAUUAAAUAUAAAUUUAUUUUAAGUUUAAAGCUAUUUAAAAGCAAAAAAAAAAAUCUAUCUACUUUUGUUGUUACUUAAAUAAUAAUUCAUUGAAGUUUCAAAUUUAUAUGUUUUAAUUGUUACUAGCAUCAUUUAAAGACUAAACUAAGUUUGAUAAAUCAAACUAAGUUAUAUAUUUGACUAGUAUGCCAUUCAUAUUUUAUAAUUUUAUCAGAAUAAUUUUGUAUAUUUUAAAAUUUUAUUAAUUAUUUAUUGUCAAGAAAUAUUUAAAUAUAUUUUUAUAUACACACAUAUUCCAGAAAAUUGUUAUUAUUGAAGGUGUUAUCCUAGAUAUAAGAUCCCCAUCACUUUCAUGAUGUGAUGCAUGUUUCUUUUUUACUUUUUCAAAAAAAAAAAUUUAUUGAUUUUUAACUGUGUUAUUAAUACGAAGUGUCUAGUGAUUUUUUUAUUACUAAUCUUAGUAAAAAAGUGACAUUUGUCUUAAAUUAAAUUAAUUAAUAAAAUAUGUUAAAAUUAUCAUAUAUACAAAAUUAUUACAAGCACUAAGUUCAAUUUAUUAGAAGUAGUGAUAAAAGCUAAUAAAAUAUAUUAUAGGAGACAUAUAUUUAAGGUAAUAAUAUAAAGUAAUAGAAUGAUUCUUAUUUAUUUGAGUUUCUUUAAAAGAACGAUUGUUAUAUCAUUUUUAAUGAAAAUUUAUUAAGUGGAUUUCUUAAAUUAUUUUUUUGGUUUGCUCAUUACUUUUUUAUGAUCCCACAAUCUCAUGUCAUUAACAAAUUUAUACACAAUUUUACUCUAAUGGUAGAAAGUUUUAAAAAACUUUAAAAAACUCACACUUUUAUAUUUUUUUAUUUUCACUUAAUUAUGAUUUAAUUGUAGUAUUGUUACAUGUCACAUAAAUAUUAUUUCUUACUCUUAUUAAUUUAUUAACUCAUAAUCAAUUAGUAGUAUUUAGAAUAAUAUAUGUUGUUAUUAAGUGCAAUAGUAUUUUUACGAUAACAAAAAUAUCAUAAUUAUAAAUAAUAUUCAACAAAACAAAUAAUAUAAGGUAAUAGAAGAAUAGAAUAGGUCGCCUAAAAAGAAGAAGAUCAAUAGAAUGGGUUAUAUAAAACACCUAAUUAAUAAAUAACAUUUUAUAAAAUUUAAAAAAUUGAUUAUCUAAUUAUAAACACAAACCUUUUUAAAAAAUUAUAAACAUGAAUACAUUUGAAGUUAAAUAUUAAACAUAUACACGUGUAAUUAGGCUAAUCAAUUCGUAAAAUAUAAAUUCAUAUAACUAAUUGAUAAAUUAUUAGAUUUAUUUACUAUAAUUAUUAUUGUAGAAAAUAAAAAUAAAAAUAGAAUUUGUUAGAGAGAAAAAUAAAUCUAAAUUUAUAAUUAGAUAAAAAUAUAAAACAGAAUGUAUUGAUAUCUUAUUAUAAUUAAUCAAUUAAAUUGAAAUUGAUUGUAUUUUAAAAUGGUGAGAUUGAUUAAUAUUCAUUGAAAUAUGUGUGUAGUCAAUCGGCACGUACAGAUCAAAACUCGAAUGUGCCAUUUCAUUGUUUAUUGUACUCGAUAUCCAAUUGGCCCUGGGACUUGGAUAUGGACUGGAUAUAUAAUAUAUAUUCAGCACGAGGGACGAAAUAUUUUAGUACUAGCAGGUUUAAUUUAAUUUGUAUCCCGCAAUAGUUGAAUUUUUAUGGUGUAUUAACUGCAUGUGAUUUUUACGUUUAAGUUAGUGUCUAUAGGAGAUUAAAUUAAAUAUGUGAAAAUCGGAGAUUAUAUUUGAGUUUUUUUUAUAUAUAGUAGUCUGCUUAUACUAUUCUCUUUUAUUAUAUUUGAUUAAUGUAUAUGUGAAAAUCAGAAAUUCGAAUUUUUGUCAUUUUUCUCCUUAUCCCAAUAUUAAAAACUAAAAAAAAAAGUAUAUUUAUACAAUUUUUCCUUUUUAUUCAUUCAACAAUGCAUCACAUAGGUCCCAAAGUCAGAACCUGUUGUUCUAAUACCAUGUUAGAUUUUAUUUUAAAACCAAUUGGCAUGCCCAACAAGUAUAUAAGCUGUACUCCAAGGAUUGAAGCAGCCGAUGUAGGACUUGGGUAUUUUUCCAAUAAGAACUUGUGUGGUUAAAGCUGAUGAAAAUGUGUAAUGUGUAGGAAAACUUGAAGGUACACCACAAAAUAUACGUUGUCCUCAUUAUGCUUGAUCGGACGAAUUGCAAAUCCCAAUCAUUCUAAAAUGAAACCAUCUCAUAACUUCAAUUAUCAAUUUAAAACUAAGUAAUUGCUUAUAUGAAUCGUUCAACUCUUGAGAAGAAAAAAAGAUUGGAAUAUAGAAAUUAAGAAACAAGUGGGAAGCCUAUCACAGUUUCAAAAAAAAUAAUAAUACCAGAGAUGCAUGAUUUAUCAAAAUGGCGUUAGAUAACCCAAUUGCGUGACCUUUUAGUGAAUGUUCUAAUUUCAGUUCAAAAUGUGAUUACAAAUUCUGAAAUAAAUCUAAUGGUUCAUAAACUUAGUUAUGUAAAAAGAAAUGUUUGGAUGCUUUUGUAAACUUUAUUUUGCUACAAACGUUCCUUUACAACUGAAAAACAAACAUGCAUUUAGUUUUCCUAAUCAUGUCAAUUGUCAUCCCAUUGUUCAAUUGCAUGAAUCUGCCAUUGAGUUUCAGAAAGCAUGACUAGCAGUUAGAGAAGAGAUAGGAGAGAGAAAAUAUUGGUAGGAAAAAUAGAAAAAGAGUGUUUUAUUUUCUUAAAAAAAUUAAACAGUAAAUUAUUAUAAUGUCCCAACUUUAAAUUUAUAACAGCAAAAAGAAAGGGAUGAUCUUUUUGUCUAAAAUUUUUAGUAUAGGAUGCUAACACACACUAACUGAAAAAAGGGUGAGUGUAUAUUAGUAAACCCAUAUAAAUAUGCUGAGUCAUAUUCUCAAUCCAAACCACACAGAAGGGAACGAAUACGCACGGACAAAGGAGGCACAGAAAAAAAAAAUCAUGCAUAUAAAAUUUUAUAGUUUGAUUUUUUUUAACCUACCCUACAAAUAAACUUGUCUAGAUGUCACCUACACAUUAAGAGAUUAUCAGACUAUAAAAAAUUAUAUUAUCUAACACAUAAAAUUUUAAAAUAAUGAAAGAUAGAAAAAAAAUUCUACAUCUUCUUGAUGAUAUUUUAUGUAUUUAACCACUCCAACUAAAAUAGUCUAACUUUACCCGAGUCAUACCAAUAUGGUGCGAUGCCAUAUAUAUUUUUUAAAGUAUAAGUUUUGUUAACAUUUGUAAUUGUAUAUUAAUUAUUAAUUAAUAAUAAUAAUUUUAUUUAUAAUAUUUUUUAAGAGUCCACAAAUAUUUUUCACAGGAGACACGCUCAAAUCAAAUAGAAUCUCAAUUGAUCACAAUUUUUUUUUCUUUUAACUGUUUAAUGCAACUACAUAAUAAGAAUUCUCACUAUCUAAUCCUUGUGUGCUUUACCAGAAAAAAGGAUGUUAUGGAGCAAUUUGAACCAAUUGAAGCAUGACAUGGGUGAUGGGCUGUGGUGCUUGGUGGGAGAUUUCAACAUAGUCUGGCUAUCAAAAGAACGGAGGGGGAGGAGUGCUUCAUCUUCACAAGGAGGUACAUAAAUUAGAGAAUUUAAGGAGUUUAAUGAUAGUUUGGAGUUGUUGGAUGUGCCACUGGUAGGGAAGCGGUUUACGUGAUUUAGUGGGAGGAAAGCAGUGAGCAGGAUAAAUAGGUGUCUAGUAAAUAUAGGAUGGUUGCAGAUGUGGCCAAAAUCAACCCAAUAUGUACUAGAUCACUAUAUCUUAUUCUUAAGCCUGUUCAUCAGGGCCCAAAUCCUUCAAGGUACUUAAUUCUUAGUUCUCUCACCCUUAUUUCCUUAAUUUUGUAAGAGAAACUCUAUUUAAUUUCUAGGUGGAGGGUUGAGGAGUACUAACUCAUUGGCAAAUGUACAAAAUUAUCACAAGUAAUAAAGUAAAAUAGAAAUUCAAGUGUCAAGUCCACAAGAACUUUGUACAUAGAUCGGUGCAAAACCAAUUUUCAAGCAAUAGAAGAGAUAAAAAAUUGAAAGUAAAAAGUUAAAAAGAAAGUAAAAGGCAAGAAAAUAAGAAAAAUAAAUAAUAAUUUGAAUGUUGAAGAUGAUUUCAAAAUGUAAAUAUGUUGGGGCCUAGCAUGCCAAAACUAUUUGUGAUACAAUGUUAAUAAUUUCUCUCUAUAUAAUGUUAUCUUGGUUUUUACCUGCAUCUAUUAUGUUACUCUAUCUUUGGUUUCCCGCAUGAAGAACUUAAUUUAUCUAUUUUCUCUCCCAAAUUCCUUUGCAAAGAUUAAAUAGUCGCAUUAAGAAUAAAGAUGUAUGAAGUAGGCUAAACAAACAUCACUCUAUCCUAGACAUGAUUUUAUUUAGAUGUCAUUUUAGAUUCUCUAAAAAAUAACCAUUUUCCGAUGCAUUACUUCCUAAAUAAUACAUGAGCAUUGCUGAUCAAACCACAAUCAAUAGCAAUAAAGCAUAGAAAAGAAUAAUAAAAAUUGGAAUUGCUUUAAAUAGACAGUAAGAAAGAGUUACAUUAGAAGAGUUUGGCUUGCCAGGCUCCUAACAAUUGGGGUUUAGCCUCUUAUUGUCAUAAGAGUCUUUACACUUUAAGGGUUGAUCGGGAUAGAAGAAGAAAAUGGAUGGAUAAAGGAGAAGUGAAGAAUGGCUAUAGAAAGAGGAUUUUCCUUAUUAGAGAUGCUUGUGCUUUGAGUGUAUUUAAUAGAGAGCUUUGAGUCUCGGUGUGACUUUUAUUUUUGCUUCCUACUCUUUUUAGAAGACUAAGGUAGCUUAAAAUCCAAGCGACCUCGCGUGCUAAACACGUCUUUCUAGGCUUAGCAGGUAUGACGAUGAUUACGAGCUAAGCACGACGACAUCUAAGCUUAACGAGUAUGGCAGUGAUCACGCACUUAGCGCGGGAUUCGCGCUAAGCGCGCCAUUGGACUUCUUCGUGGGCUUUCUUCACACUAAGCUUGUGCUGUUGAGCGAGUUGACGCGUUGGGCCUAUCUUAUGCGCUAAGCGAGUUGUCUCAAUCUUCAACUUUUUCUUCAAGGCUUUUUUAUCAAGUUUUUCAUCAAUUUUUCCUCCAAAGCACUUGUAAUUUCCAUAUUUUGAAUCUCGUUGUUCAAAAAAUUAAAAUGCUAUUAAAAUCCUCAUUAUUCCCUUAAAAACAACAAUAAAAUAGAGGAAUUCUAAUCAUUCUUAGUCAAAAUUAACUAUCAAUUAAACCAAAAUUUCGUAGUUAUCAAGGAGCAUUUGUAUUGAAAAAAAAGCUUAAGCAUCUAAAACGAAGUUGAAGAACUGGAGUAAGAUUAACCUUGGUGACUGUUAACUCAUUGGCAAGUGUACCAAAUUGUCACAAGUAGUAGAGUAAAAUGAAAGUUCGAGUGUCGAGUCCACAAAGACUUUGUUUGUACUUAGAUUGGUAUACCCAAUUUUUAAGCAAGGAGUAGAAGAGAUAAGGAAUUGUAAGUGAGAAAUAAGAGGAUAAAAGUAAAAGAUAAGAAAACAAGAAAAAUUAAACAAUAACUUGAAAGUGAAGGAUGAAUUCAGAAUGCAAAUGUGUUGGGGCCUAGCAUGCCAAAAUUACUUGUGAUACAAUGUUAAUAAUUUUUCUCUAUUUAAUGUUAUCCAGUUUUCACCCACAUUUACUAUGGUACUUUAUCUUUGGUUCCCCGCAUGAAGAGACUAAUUUAUUUAUUUUCUCUCCUAAAUUCCUUUGCAAAGAUGAAAUAGUAAAUCAGAUUAAGAUUAAAAAUGCAUGAAAUAGGCUAAACAAACAUCACUCUAUUCCUAGACAUGGUUUUAUUUAGAUACCCUUUCCCAGUUCUUUAGAAAAUAACCAUUUUCCAAUGCAUUACUUCCUAAACAAUGCAUGAGUAUGGGUGAUCAUACCACAAUCAACAACAAUAAAGCACAUAAAAGAACAAUAAAAACCAGAAUUGCAUUAAAUAGAUAGUAGGGAAAAAUUACAUUACAAGAGUUUGACCACUAGGCUCUCAACAAUGGGGGUUUAGCCUCUCAUCAUCAUGAGAGGCUUUAAACUUUAAGGGUUGAUGUGGACGAAAGAAGAAGAGGGAUGAUGGAUAGAGGAGGAGAAGGGGAUAAUGAAUAUAGAAAGAGAAUUUCCCCUAUUUGAGCUAUUCAGGCUUAAGAUGUAUUCAUUAUAGAACUCGAGUCUCGGUGUGUCCUACUCCUUUUAUAGGUCUAAGGUAGCUUAAAAUUCACGCGACCUCGCACUAAGCGGACCUUCUAGGUUUAACGAGUAUGCCAGUGAUCAUACACUUGGCAUUCAUGCUUAACGCGCCUUUAGGCUUCUUUGUGGGCAUUCUUCACGCUAAAUUUGUACUGGCCCAAUCUAUAACUUUUUCUUCAAAGUUUUUUCUUUAAGUUUUUGCAUCAAUUUUUCCUCAAAAGCACUUGUAAUUUCCUUCUUUUGAAUCUUGCUGGUAAAAAAUUAAAGUGAUAUUAAAAUACUCAUUAUUUCAUUAAAAAUAAUAGUACAAUAGAGGAAUUUUAAUCAUUCUUAAUGAAAAUUGACAAUCAAUUAAACCCAAAUUUUGCAGUUAUCAGUGACCUGGAGACUAGGAGGAGCCAAUUGAUCACCUUGAUUGGUGAUUUAGAUAGAAGGGACAUAAAAGGCGAUUUAUCUAUUCAAGAAGUAAAGGAAAAAAGCAACCUUAUUGAGGAAUUCUGGGUGGUAUCAAGGAUAUUCAAAUUUCUCUUGCAUAAAAAAUAUAGAAUCAAGUGGCUAAAGGAGGGAGAUGCAAACACUCAUUACUUCCAUUUUGUGGGAAUUGGUGGAGGAGAACUAAUAAUAUGAAAGGGCUUUCAAUUCAAGGGAGAUGGGAGGAAGAUCCUAAAAAGGUAAAGGAGGAAGUCAAAAGUUUCUUUGUACAUAAAUUUAAGGAGGAAGAUCACUUGGAGGUUUCCUUGGAUGGUGUCUUGUUCAAAUCUUUGCAUUGGAAGAUAACAUCAUAUUAUCAAAGGAGUUUUUUUGAAAAGGAGAUUAAAAUAACUAUCCGGGAUUGUGAUGGUAACAAGUGCCCGGGUCCUGAUGGAUGCAAUUUUCGAUUAUAAAGUCUUGUUGGGAGUUCUCAAAGGUGAAUAUUCUAAGGGUCAUAAGGGAGUUUCAUGGCAAUGGUGUUUUUCCACGUUGCACUAAUGCGACUCUUUUUGCUAUUCAAGAAGGAUAACCCACAAGUUUGGGCAAAUAGAAACCUAUAUCUUUUGUGGGAUGCUUGCACAAAAUUAUGACCAAGGUUUUAUCUAUCAAGCUCAAGGGUGUGUUACCAAAGAUUAUUGAUAAGUCUCAAACAAUGUUUAUAGGUGGAGGAAUAUGUUAGAUGGAGUUGUAGUGGUGAAUGAGGUUGUUUAGGAAGCCAAUCUUAGAAAGAGAUUGUGCUUAGUCUUCAAAGCAGACUUUCUAAGGCAUACGAUUGUGAGGUGGGAUUUCCUAUAUUACAUGAUGAGGAGGAUGUGAUUAUGUUCAAAGUGGAUUCAUUGGAUAAAAGGAUGCAUGGAGUCCUUUUCUAUGUUUGUCUUAGUUAAUGAAAGUCUAACAAAAGAAUUUAAGAAUUAAAAGGGGUUAAGAUAAGGAGUUUGCUGGCACCUUUUCUCUUUCUCAUGGUAGCAUAUGGUUGUAAUAGUCGUAUCUUUUGGGUUUUUCAUUUAAAUAAAAUAAAUAAAUAACUAAAUUAGGUCAUCAAUUCCCUCAUUAUAUCAAUUAACUUUUAACCUAGAGCAGCUUUUACAAAAACACCUUAUGUUCUUUUUUCCUUCUUCUGACGCACAAGAACCCUAACAGAGCAACCGGAGGAGGAGCUCUAGAGAGCACUAGAAACGCCACCAUUGCUAACAGAGAACGCUUGAGCAACUACAUCGAGGUAAGAGAUGAGUUACUUACGUUUGGGAAUUAGAAUGAAUAUGUAUAGGGAUCUCUAGAGAAUCAAUUUUGGGUUAUUUUUAUAAAUUUUUAAUUCAUGAACCCUUUCCAAUUGAGUAUUUCAUAUGCUAAAUUGAGUGUGAUAUCUAUUAUCAUAAACUUCUAUGAUUUUGUUUGUUUAGUGUAUAUUGACAUAAUAUUUUAUUGAAGCAGGUGAAUUUUUGUCAAAUUAUUAUCACUUGAUUUUUGUGUAUAUUAAGGUUUACGAUUUGUUUUUGUUUUACGCUUGUGCAUUUACCACUGUUUUCAAAUUGUCAAUAAAUUGCUAUCACUCGAAUUAAAGGUUUUGCCCAAACAAUUGUAUUCCUUUGGAUUGCAAUCAAAAUUUAUGUACCACACGUACUGUACCAAUUUGUUGAAAUACAAUAUAUAUCUCACUUAUGAUGCUAACCACGUAUAGUUUUUUUGCAAAUAUAUAUAUAUAUAUAUAUAUAUAUAUAUAUAUAUAUAUAUAUAUAUAUAUAUAUAUUCUAAAAAAAUAUAGAAAAUAUUAAUAAUAAAUAAAAUAAAGUUAUAGAAAUUAUUGCUUAAUAGUGAUUAUUUUUGCUAUAUUUUAAAAUAAUUGUUGUAGAAGUUUUUUUUAAUUGAAAAUAAUAUAGUUCGAUUUAAUUUAUACAUAUUUUGUGCCAUGUAAAUAUUACUACCGAGUGAUAUGUGCAUGAUUCAUGAGAAGUGAUAAAUUGUUUUAUUGUGAUUAUGAAAUUGUGAUUGAGAUUGUGUGUAAGUGAUAACUAUUUGGUAUGUAAUGAAUUGUGAAUUGCACGAGUGUAGAGAUGUUGUAUGUAUUGAAUUGUGAGUUAUGAAUUAUGCAAUUAUACAACUGUAAGACCCUUUAAGGGUGACGAGUUAAUGUGCGAUGAGUUGUGAUGAGUUCCAUGGUGGGAACCUGACGAGUUUAAUCACUUAAGGCGCGAUGAGUUAAAAUAAUUGAGAUUUUGUAAACAAUUGAGUAGUUGUGUGUAUGCAUAAUUCAUAAGUAGAGUCCGUGUGUUAAAAUAUUUUUUAGGUUGGACCUGAAUCAGGAGGGAGAGACCCUGAUGGACUACUCGGAGUCUAGGCCUUGGAAGUAAAUAUACUCGAUUUGAGUACUCCUUUAAGCCUGUGUUGAUCCCACAUGGUUGAAGCAUUCUCGCAAAACAAAGUGACUCUGAGUUGUCUCCCUAUGAUUUCAUUUAAUGAGAGUGACCUAACUUACCCAUUGUGAGGCAUGCCACGUCAUGUACUCCUAGGCGUCCAAUGAGGUUUUUCACUGAAAAAUGGUAUCACAUUGCAUAUAUGCUUGAGUCUAGUGUAUUUGUAGCAUAACGCUUGCGUUUGACUUUCAUUGAGUUAACAAUUGCGGUUUGAUGUUAUUUUCUGGAGUGUGUGAACUUGAGUGAGUGUGAAUAAUGUGUGUCUUUUUGUGAAGCGAUGUUGUUUAUAUAAAUUCAGCUCUAAGUAUUAUAUGUUUCACAUGCUCUAGUGUUUUAUUAUACAUGAAUGUGAUAAUUAAUUCCCGGUGUGUGUUUGUGUUUGGGUUGAAUGCCAUUUUGUUUCAGGUGAGCCAACAUAUGAUGAGUUCCAUGCUGGAGAUGGAGAGGUUUAAUCUAUGCCAGAGAAAUGCUAUGAUAAAUGUGACAUCGGGACAUAAGAUUUUAUUUCAUAUUUAUAAUUUCAAGAAUAAUAUAGUUAUUUUAUGUUUUCCACUUUAGUGUGUCUUCUUUUCAUUCAGAAUGAGUAGCCUCAUUUUGAGGCGAGAUGAUUUUAUUAGUAUUUGAACAAGUUCUAUUAUGAUUUCACUAUACGAAUGUGAACAUUUCACCCUUUUGAAAUGUUUUUAUUUAAAUGUGUUUUAAAAUUUUCAAUUAAUUACGCAUUCUUAUCCUCUUAUUAUAUAUAUAUAUGUGUGUGUGUGUGUGUGUGUGUGUGUGUGUGUGUGUGUGUGCUGAUGACCCUCUUUUCUUGGGAGAGCCUGCCAUGAGGGAUGUAUUAUCCUUAAAAUUCAUGCUCAUAAUGCUUUGAGUUAGUCUUGGGAUGAAUAAUAAUGUCGACUUUAAAAGACAUACUCUGCCUCCAAAUGAGAGAUAUUUGUGAUGCCAUGCUGCCAACCUCUUCCGGAGUUUGUUCAACACUGGUUGCCAAAAGCUCUCUUUCCUAGGAUUCCCCCCAACCGACAAGCCCAAAUAAAUAAAUAGUAGAUGUUGGGUAAUCAAUUCUUCCUCAAAUAAAAUUACUCACUCUCACAUAAGAUCGUGAGAAUACAACAAAGAUUACACCGUAGAAAAAAUAAUAACAAACACAAGAAUUUAAUCUGGUUCGACACCUCUUGCCUACGUCCACGGAAUCGUCUCAAAGUAUUUCACUAUCACAGAAAUGAUUACAAGAUUGUAACUCAUCCCAAUGGUUGGAGGUCUUGUGUGUGUGUGUAAUGGUUCCCUUAAAGUUUCACUCUUGCAGUUUGCUGAUGACCCUCUUUUCUUGGGAGAGCCUACCAUGAGGGAUGCAUUAUCCUUAAAAUUCAUGCUCAUAAUGCUUUGAGUUAGUCUUGGGCUUGAAGGUAUUUUUUCAUAAAAUCCAUAUAGCGGGGAUUGGAGUAUCGGAAGGAGUCAUCCAAAGGUCAGCAAUGGUUUUAAAUUGUCAAAUCAUGAGUCUACUAUAGAGUUUCAAGCCAAAAAAUAAGGUGCAUGCAUAUUGGAAAUUGAAUUUUUAUCACUAAGGUUUAGGUGACUUAAAUGCAAAGUGAAAGAUUGUAUUUUACUAGAUGAACCUUAGUUGAAUGGAUGCAUUGACAGUUUUUUUGUUUCAACUUCCAAGAUAGCUUAUUUAUUAUAGUUGGUGACAAUCUUCACUAUAAUAGAGAAGAUAAUUAGUGGAGAAACAACACAUGAAGAGAGUAUGUGUGAGAAGAAAGAUUGUGAAACAAAAUCACUUUGGUGAGAGAAAAGUAUCUUUGUGUGAGAGUGUUAUCAUUUCUUGUAACCAUUGAGUGAGGUACUCGAGUUUGUAGAGUAAUACAUUAUUUGGGAUGAGUUACAAUCUUGUAAUCAUUUUUGUGAUAGUGAAAUACUUUGAGACGGUUCCGUGGACGUAGACAAGAGGUGCCGAACCAGAUUAAAUUCUUGUGUUUGUUAUUAUUUUUUCUACGGUGUAAUCUUUGUUGUAUUCUCACGAUCUUAUGUGAGAGUGAGUAAUUUUAUUUGAGGAAGAAUUGAUUACCCAACAUCUACUAUUUAUUUAUUUGGGCUUGUCGGUUGGGGGGAAUCCUAGGAAAGAGAGCUUUUGGCAACCAGUGUUGAACAAACUCCGGAAGAGGUUGGCAGCAUGGCAUCACAAAUAUCUCUCAUUUGGAGGCAGAGUAUGUCUUUUAAAGUCGACAUUAUUAUCCAUCCCACUAUUUUUCCUCUCUAUUUUUAAGGCACCUAGCAAAGUCACUAGUAAGAUAAUUUAUCUUCAAAGGAAUUUCUUGUAGGGGGGCUAAGGCGGGAGGACCGUAAAAUGUGUUGGGUUAGUAGGAAAAAUGUGUGUUUAAAGACAAAGGUGGCAUAAACAUCAAGGAUGUAGAGAGCUUUAACAAAGCAUUGUUAUCUAAAUGGUUGUGGCAGUUUAUAAAUGAGGACAAUGCACUGUGGGUGAAAAUUAUUAAGGAAAUGGGAAACGUGGGGAAGAUGUGUUACAUAAUCCAAAGUCGUUAUGAUGGUGGAGAGAUGUGUGUUCUGUGUGUCAUAGUGGAGCAUCUAGGGGAUGGUUUUGGAGCAGAGUGAAGAGAGAACAUAGGAGUGGUGAACGUAUUAUGUUUUGGGAACAUUUGUGGGUGGGGAAGGAACUGUUAAGUGUGAGAUUUAAUAGACUUUAUGUGAACUCUACAAAAAAAUUGCUAUAUUACAGGUAUGGGAUAUUGGUUUGAUGGAGGGUGGGAAUGGUCUUUGAGGUGGAGAAGGUCCUUUUUUGAGUGGGAGGAGGAACUUGUGAUAGUGCUUAUGCGUGAGUUGAGUGGUUCAAUGCCAAAGAGAGAGAUAGAGUCGGGAUUCUUGGGCUUGGGAAGGGGUCAAUUCAAAAGUUUUGUCAGGGAAGCAUGCUUGUGUGUGCAACCUUUGUGUGAUCAAUAUGUACCUUCUUCGUUUUACAGGCAGAUUUGGAAACUACCAAUUCCAUCCAAGCUUAGUUUGGUUUAGAGAGCUUCUCUAAAUAGAAUUUCAACAAAAGAAAACCUUAUCAAUAGGGGCGUGUAGCUUGAGGAAGGACAACAACUUCGUUGCUUCUACUAUCAGGUGGUGGAAACAACAACACAUCUCUUUUUCUCAUAUCAUUUUGCUCUAUUAGUCUGGCGGUCAUGCUACUCAUGGUUUGGUGUUUCUUUAGCUCUACCAGAUAUGUUGGAGAUGCUCUUUUUGCAACAUAGUGGUCUAUUGAAGGGAAACAAAGGAAAGUUGUUAUCGUGGGGGGUCUAAGAAACUGUUAUAUGGUCAUUGUGGUGCCAUAGGAACAACAUAAUAUUUAAUAAUGUCCAAACCAAUCUUGGUAUUGUUAUAGAGAUGGUUGUUGUUAGAUUGUGGAUGUGGCUCAAGGUGAAGGCAAAAAGAAUUUUCUGCUUCAUAACCUAGCUGCUCUUUGAAUCCUGCAUUUCCUAUGUAGCUCUAAAGUUUGUUUGACGGUAAUGUUCUGCUGUAUGGAAUGAAUAACAAGUAUCUGUUAACAAUUUGGAUAUACAUAGCCUUAGUGAUCAUUGGAUUAGCUCGGAUAGAAGUGUCCAAUUUGAGUUAAACGACUUCAGAUUGGGGGAAUCACGGUCUUGGGGGAUGGUUCAUUGUAUCAACUAUGGGAUUUAUUUUGGAAUUUUACAAUAGUUGGUUGGCUUCAGCAAUCACAUGUGGUAUUUUUUUUAGAUUAGAGACCACGAUAUUUUUUAAUCUAUUAGGUCAUAAAUUAAUUUUGUUCGUAAUACGUAAUUAUUAUUGUCUUUAAAGAAUUUUAUAUAACGUGAGAAUUAAAUAUUAAUUUUCUCGUUAAAUAAUUUUUAUUCUUACUCAAAUGAAUAUCAACCUCUAGAUUAUAUCUUAUCUUUUUCUAAUAAUAUAUAUUUAUUUAAUUAUUAAAAAAAUAAUUUAAACUUGAGAUUUACGAUGAAACUUAAAUAAUUCUUAUCAAUUGAUUCACACAUUUAAUAAUUUAUUAGAUAAUAUUUUAUAAAAUGUGAUUAUAUAUAUAUUUAUAUUAAUUUAUUUGAUUUGAAAUAUAUCUUGUAAAAUAUAUUUUAAUUUAUACUUUAUACUUCUUUUAUUUUACGAUUUAAUUAUACACCGUGUAAAGAUUAAUAUAUAUCAAGUUAAUGAAUUAAAUUGAUACGGCAUUAUUCCAUAUAUAUUAUCAGGUAUUGAUUGUCUGAAUUCAAAUUUAAAUAAAUGACCCUAUUAUAAUUUCAAGUUGGAUAAAAAUAAAGAUAUAACCGUCAUACAGCACUGAUCAAUAAUACUAGGAUACCAUAUAUAUUUUCUUAUUUUAUUUCUAAAUUUUUCUUUUCCCCGAAAUUAGAAGGUCGAAGUUGAACGAGUAAAAAGGUGCAAUAUUGUGAUAACCUCAUUCCAUUUGUUUUGUUUAAAGUUUGAACAGUUCUCGCGUUUCUCUGCAACCAGUGUUCCAAUGAGGCAAUGACCAAUGACGUGCCUUGCUGGGCAAUUAAGGCGUUGAAUGAAUACAACAGUAUUUUGUUUGGUUUGUGUAGUUAUUAGUCAGGACUCUGUCAAAACUGUGGCUUUGCAUUGUGCCUGACUUGUGUUGGAUAGACUUUGAUACAAUACAAUUUACAUAUUACAUAUAUAACCUGUGAAGUUUUUUAAUGGAUUUAAUUUUGACUUGUUAUUCACGUAAUAUUUGUUGAUCAAAGUUAUUUUCUUUCGUUUUAUAUAAUUGCACUCAAUUAUGCAUGACAUUUUGGUAUAUCAGUACAUAAAUAAGUUACUUCCUUUAAUUUUUAAUUUGUAUAAUGUUGUUUAAGGUUAUAGUUCUUUUUGAAGAAAUUUAAGGUUUUAUAUAGUUAAUAGAUUUUCACGAGCUAAAAAUUCCUUGAGGACUUUGAUUAUAAAUCAGAAAUUGCGAAGAAGAAAGUGACCAUAAGCCUGACAGUUUUAAGAUAUUUUGUCCAGUUUUGCAAAAUAAAUCUUUUUAAUGUUUAUAUAUCAAGGACUGGUCAAUUUUUUGACACUUUUGUUUUGUUUGCUUCAGCACUCAGAAUUUUUUUAUUCGUGGUCAUACUUCCAUUUUUAAAAAUAAAAUCAGCUUGUUUAUAAAAAAUAUCAACUGAAUCUGAGAUGCCAUUUUCUCAAAUUUUAUACAAAAAAUAAAAAAUUUCAUUUUUUGAUAUAACAAACUCACAGGUAUCAAUUAAUUUGAAUUUUUUUAUGUAAAUAAUUAAUUAUAGUUUUUUCAUAUAUAUGAAAAACAAUUAAUAAUAUUAAUUUAGGCCCAAUUUUUGUUGCCGAAGAACAGCAUGUUCUAUCUCUAAAAUAAGGUAAUUUAGAAUUAGUCUUACCAGUCACGGUAAAAUUUAAUUUUGCAUCCACUGAAUAUCAAUGGUUCAAUUUCAAAGCCUCAAUUUAAUACCCAAUCAGCGCCCCAAAAGAAGCUAAUCUCUCUUCUUUUAACUUUAUUCUUAAAACGAACCUUAUCCAAUACCUGGAAUAAAAUCAAUGUCUCCAUUUUCUCUUUUAUGACUAAUCUCAUCAAUUAACAAAAACACUUCCCGAUAUUUUUUGAACAAGUUAAUUCUUUUACUUGAAUAUUACUCACUUUAAUCUUUUUUUUUAUAAGACCAAUACACUAAUUCAUAAAAUAGGAAGAUAAUUAAAUAAUUUAGUGAAUUCACGAUAAAUUUGUCCUAAAAUAAUACUAUAUUUUUCCAAAAUUAUUACAACAUAAAUGAGACAUUCUUUUUUAUUUUAAUUCCUUUAAUAUCCUUUAUCAUUAAUUAUUAUUGUUUUAACUUUUAUUUGAAUUAUUCUUUUUUAUAAAAAGGACUAAUCCAAAAUUUUAAUUUAGUAAUUGUAAAAAAAUCUAAGGAAUAUUCUUCAAUGAAAGAAAGAGAAUCAUGUAUUGGUGUGAAAUUAUUUUAAUCUAACGUUUUUUGAGUUCAAUCUUAUUCUAGAUAUACAACUAUCUGCGAUAUUUAGAGGAAGAGCGUAAAUAAUUUAUUCGAUUCAAAUAAAAGUAUAUAUGACAAGCAAGCAAUUAUAUUAAAUAUUUAAAAAUAAUUUAACUAUUCAAUUUAUUUAAUUUUCCAUAAAUUAUACACGUCAUGAAGAAAAAAUAAAUCAAAGGAAGAGAAGAAAAAAGAACCCGAAACAGAGUUUUAUAUAUCCCACAGAGAAAGAAACGCAUGAAUUUUAGAAUUGUUAUUACAGAUUUCGUAUUCUGUGUGACGCGGUAGACGGUAGUCAUUGGUUUGUAAGAGAGCACCACCCACCCCAUCCCAUAAUAUAAAUCCGUGCUUAACACUUCAUCAUAAAUUCGCACUUUCUAGAAACCAAAGCAAAGUUCCCUGUUUCACUUUCUGUUCUGUUUUGGAUAUUUCUCAACAUAACCAAACCAAAGCGUUUUACUAUUUUGUUUUCUAGUUUCCUCCAUCUCCCUCCCAUACUCACCUUCUCUCUGGUCAGUUUUCCUUCUUUUCCACCUUUUUCAGUUUUUAUUCUCAAACAAAACAAACACGCCAACACGGGUUUCUGUUACAAGAGUUUUUUAAAAAAAGAAAAAAAAAAAUGAAAAUAAAUUUAUUGUUCCCUUGUUUUCUUUCUCCAUAUGCUUGUCUUUCGUUUCUUUUAGUUUUUAGCGUGUCUUUGUUUCUGGACUUCGUUUUGUUGGUUUAAGGUUAAAGCGUCAGCGUGUUGUCUUUCCUUAAAUGUCGAACAAAGCAGGGUUGGCUUGAGUUUUCUUCAAGACUUAGUUUAUCAAAGAAAGGAAGAGUUAGAUAGAUUAAGAGAGAGAAAGAGUUGUCAUUGUUUGUUUUUGUUUAUGUAACUAUGUGUUGAGUUGGAAACAUUAUUAUUGGCUUUGUUAAAACAGAGAAAUUGUUGUCGAGGAGAUAAAAAUAAGACCGUUAGACUGAGAGUUUUGCGGGAGAAAAAAAAAACAAGACUUUGACUCUUAGCUGUUGAGAUAAUUUGCCUUUCAAUUCUCUUUCUUCUUAGUUAUUAACCUCAAUAAUUUCUCAACUUCUCUUUCUCUGCUCCUUUGUUUUUUCCUCAUCUUAAUUAGUUCUCAUUGUAAGAGAAGCUGAAACUCCUUCAAUCUUUUUCUUUUCCUCUGACACCAUGAUUUUCGAUGAAGGGUCAAUGCAAUCUAAGUCCAACCUUGACUGCUUCCUCCGGCGUACGACACCUGUUGUGCCGUCUCAGUUUCUUCCCAAGGUGCUACUUUUUGCCUUUGUUUUGUUAAUUUUUGUUUUCUGCUUGGUUCAUUGUGUUUUGUGUUUUUUUUUCGUUGUGAUCCUAAGUUUUUGUGUUUUUCUUUCUGACAGCACGAGAUUCGAAACCUUAACCGAUUGUGGCACCCGUGGGAGAGAGAAGCUGUUGAGUACUUCACUUUGGGUGAUCUAUGGAAUCGUUUCCACGAAUGGAGUGCUUAUGGAGCUGGAGUUCCCAUCACGUUGUCCAAUGGGGAGACACUUGUUCAGUACUAUGUUCCUUACCUCUCCGCAAUUCAGAUAUUCACCAGCAACACUUUCAGGUAUGUUUUACAUAUAUGCACAUGAAGAUAAUCUAUAUCAGUUUUGUGGGGGUUGUUGUUCAAUUUUUUGUAGUUUUGAAUCAAAUCAUGGCCUGAGGGUAUUCGUUGAUGUAAGAAUAGUCAUAUAAGCAUAUUUUUAUCACCAAAUGGGAUAUUUGGUACCCAAUGGAUAUGAUUCGGUUGGCAACACACACGGCAAGGAGCUGUAUUCAAUUUCUACCUAAUAUAUCUUCAGAUGAAACUUUUUAAGUGUGACCAAGAAUUAGUGAGGAGAAUCUGAAUUUACAGAACACACAUUUAGAAGGAAUUUAAGUAUGACUGAAUUUCGGGUAAAAAAUUAGUCCUAUAACAGGUUUAAAGGGCCGAAGCUUUAGAAAUACCUAGGAGUUCUACCUGAGAGUCAAAAACUCCAAUUAUGUAGCUUAAAAAAAUGACUCUUUGUAUCAAUGUUCUUAUGGUCAUAGUUCUAUGAUACCUGUUGAUUAGUUGUUUUUGUUUCAAGUGAUUUUGUAUAUUAUGGUUCAUGGUUCUGGACUUCAUGAUUGUUUGUAAAAAAAUAGUAAUAUCAAUCUUUGAUGAGAGGGAACAGGAUGCAUAGAUUUGAAUUGAGUGUUUGUUUCUUUCUUAUUCAGGGAAGAGACCGAGUCAGGUGAGUGUGAGACAAGGGAUUCGUACAGCGAUUCCUACAGUGAAGAGAGUGAGAGUGACAAACUAUGGAGGUGGGAUGGAACUUCGUCAGAAGAAGGAGGAUCUGAGCACGAUUGUUUGUGGCACAUGAAUGACCGAUUGGGUCACCUUUACUUCCAAUAUUUUGAAAGAUCAACUCCAUAUGGGAGAGUUCCUCUAAUGGAUAAGGUGCGUUUGUUUUGUUCUUGUUGGCCAUUUCUAACUUUUUUUUUUGCAGCUUUAUUAGUUAUUAGAUGUGCUGAAAGAAUUUCAUGAUUUUCAUCUAUAUCUGGAUUCUGAUUUUAGUGUUUCUAAUUAGAUGAGAAUCCACAGAUUAGGCAUAGGGAGGGAAUAGGGAAUGUUCUUUUUUAGAAGUUUGUAUUGUAAUCACCAAAAAUCUUUAGUGAUAGGGCAUCCAUAAAAGGUUAACUGUGACUUUUGACUUAUGAUCAUGUGAAUCCGGAGAACUCGUUUUUCUCUGUUCAUAAUAACUUGGCACUUCUUAGUCUAGUCUCUGCUAUCUCUUUCUUCUGUGGAACCCCCCGCCCCCACCUUCUUCAAUGUAAUUAAUUAUUAUUCUUAUUUUUAUACUUCUUGAGUGAGCAUAUGUUCUCCUUCCAAAAACCUUUGCUGAAUGUAGUUUUCACUUUUCUGUGUUUGGAUUCUUGUGAUCUAUCUAUAUAUUCAACAAAAAAAAUCCGUAAUUUAGUGUUUCAAUAGAUUAGCGUAUCUCCGCAGAAAUCUUUUGUAAAGCGUUUUAUCCAAUUCAAUGCCAUGACUUCCAGAAAUUGAGGGUAUAAAAGAAAUCCUUGAUGAUACAAAAAAACCGUAAUUUUCGCUUCAAUUCUUUGUAAAUAGAAAUUUAAAUAUUUGCAAGAUUAACUUUAUUACAAAAAUUUAAAGGCUUAAAAAUUAUAUAGUACCUCUGGGCCUCUUUCGUUUACCAUUGAAAUCAAUGUUUCUAACCGUGCACGCAUUUGAAGGCGACAUCUAUGAUUGAGAUUAAUUUGGACACACCUUCAAUUAUGUUCAAAACUAAUUCUCUCAAAAUUUUAUCUUAGAUUAGAACAAAUGGCACACUAUUGCUGACUAAUAUAUUUUUAACUUUCAGAUUACUGGCUUAGCAGAAAGAUACCCGGGGUUGAUGUCACUAAGAAGUGUAGAUCUUUCCCCAGCAAGUUGGAUGGCAGUUGCUUGGUAAUUAAUUUUCUCUCUCAUGUUAAACAUGUAUUUUUUUUUUUUUGGUCCUUUUUCUACCAAAUCACUGGUCCUUACGGUUAACUAAAUUUGGAAUUGAUUUCAACAAGUAUCCUUGAUGUAAGGAAUAUUCUAAUGUAUAUGAUCAAUUGAUGAAUAGAUCUUCCAUGGUUACUGUUUCCAGGUACCCCAUAUAUCAUAUUCCCAUGGGAAGAACAAUUAAAGAUCUCUCAACAUGCUUCCUCACUUUCCACACACUUUCAUCUUCAUUCCAAGGUGUUAUUAUUAUUAUUUCAUUCUCUAUCCAUAUGUCACACUACAUAAUUAUGUACAACUACUAUAUCAUUUUAACUUUUUCUGCGGAAAAGGAAAAAAAUCUUGAAAAUUCACCCCAAUAAAAACCGUAAAAUUUUGGAAAGAGAAUAUGCACUAAGUGGAACUUUUUUUUUUCCUUAUGUGUGUACUUGUGUUUUAUAGAUAUGGACCUUGAUGAUGAUACCGACGGAGCCCACGAGAAGAGAAAGGAAGGUGAAGGAAUUUCGCUGCCAGCAUUUGGUUUGGCCACGUAUAAGAUGCAAGGGAGUGUGUGGGUCUCAGGGAAUUGUGGUAGGGACCAAGAAAGACUAGUCUCACUAUUGAGCGUGGCAGAUUCAUGGUUGAAGCAACUAAGGGUCCAACAUCAUGACUUCAAUUACUUCAUGGGCGCUCGGCAUGGCUAGAACAAAUUAGUGCACACUACUUUGCAAAAUUGACCCCUAAAAAAUCCUUUUUUUUUGGAUAUAUAUUUUGUUGUUGUGCCCUUGCUUGGACCAUUAAUUGCACCCCUUUUUGUUGGCUUUUGAGUGUGAUGAGGAAUGAGGAUUUGUAGUACUUUGUAGUUGUUUAAUUGACCCUUUGAGAGCAUUUUAAUUAGGACACAAGCCCUUGUAAGGGUAUGUAACCGAUCAAAUGAGUUGACUCCUUUGUAUAUAGAGUGGUAGGUGAGGAGGCCAGAGUUAUUAUAAUUUACUAAGAUGAUGUGAGAGUGAGACUACAUAGAACUUUGAAACUUGGAUUGUGUAUGAUCACUUGCUAGUAUUGACCAAUGAUGAUGAUGACCAUUAUAGUUGAGACGUGGAAUGUUUCUGUAAAUGCCACCGAUCCACUGGCUCUUGUUUGCUAAUAGAUAAGCAUCACAUGAUACCAUGAACAUUUUUUUUUUUAUAAUAAUUGUUGUUUUGGGUUUGGCAUUGGUUUGGUAAAAAGGAAAAAGAGAGUUUAAGAAUGCAAUCUAGUGAGGGGAGAUGCAUGAGAAAUUGAAUGAACGGUUGGCCAUUUGCCAUGAAUGACAUGUAGGUUCUGAGCUUUUAUUUCCGCGUGGACCCAUCAUAGAAUAAGAAAAUGUAUCUAAUGCAUUGAUAUAGCACAUGGUCUAGCUUAAUUGUCCUUUUUCAUUUGAAGUGUUUAAUUGUGUUUUUAAGGGUGUUCAUGGUCGAUCAGUUUGAUUCAAAUUUGAAAGAAAAUUAAAUUAAAAUUAAUUUGAUUUCAAUUGGAUCGGUUUGAAUCUUAGAAUGUUUUUUUAGUCCGAACCAAACCAACUGGAUGAUAAAGAUAUAAUAUUGCUCUAGUAAAAGAGAAAGAGAAUGAAAAAAAUGAGUUCAAAUUCUCUUCUUAACAAAAACUAAAAACUAAUAAUUAAUGUUUGUUCAUAAAAAAAAUUACUAAUAUAAUUAUGAGUGGGCUGAGUCACGUAUAUUUGACAAAAAAUAAAAUCAAUUUUUUUAAAAAAAUAGCAUGGUUUUGUCCCAAAUUUGAUAAAUAAUAUUGUUAUAAAAUAAUAUAAGCAACAUAUUUAAAUGUGAUUAAUUAGAACAACUAAAUAAUAGCAUAAAUUAUAAAAAAAUAACACAUAAUUCAUUAAAUCAUAAAAGUCCAUCUCUAUAUAAUAAUAUAAAAGAAAUAAACUAAAUUAUUCAACAUAAAUUUUAAUUUAAAGGUAUACUAAAUUAAAACACAAUAAAAAGAUUUAAAAAACACACAAUUGAGCAUUAAAAUAAUAAUAAGUAUAUAAUUUGUUUGAUUUGGGUUGAUUUAAAUUUGAAAAGAAUGAAUCUAAUAUUCAAACCAAUCAAUAUUGAAUUUUAAUUGAUUUUAGACCCGAACAAGAAAAAAUUCCGAAACAAUCUAAUUGAUUUAAUUCAAAUUAUCGAAUUGUCAAAUUGAUCCGAAACGGUAAUCACCCUAAUCCUCCGUAUAAUGCAAUAUAUAUGAUUGUAAAAUAAGCAUAAAUAUUCUCACCUAAAAUUUGGAGGCAAAAUAACUAUUUAAUUCAUUUGAUAAUUAACUCAGAUCCACAUGCGGUUUUAGUUAGCCGCAUUAUCGUCUCCCUAGUUUUACUCUCCGAAUUAGAUAUUUUAUCGAUUAUUUUAUAUUUUAUAUACAUUUAGUGAAAAUAAUUUUUAAAUUGUUGGUGUGUUUUUUAACAAAUUUCAUUUAUAAUAAAUUUAUAAUUUUAUUUUUAUGACAAUUAUAUUAUAUUCCAUCAUAAUUUUAUGCUUAAUAUCUUCCUUAUCAGCACACUUUUUUUUUUAAGUUUAACUAUUACAUUUUUCUUUUAAAAUAAACCUGUAUCAAACGAAGUUAAUUUGUAAUUAUUCAUUUAAUAUACUAUAAAUACAUAUUAAUUAUUCAUUUAAUAUACCCAAUUAAAUGUAGAAGUAGGCAUACUGUUUUUUUAUGAUUGAAGUAGGGCAUACUAUACGUACAAGUCAUAAUCUACGAAACUAGCAACUUGUGUAGGUUUGGAUAAUAUCAAGUCCUAUAGUUUUUUUAAUAGUAGAUUAUUAUAAGGUUUGAUGUGCAAAGGUUAUAUUGCCAUGACCCCUAGAUUUGUAGGCUGAUUUUUUUUUUCUCACACAAAAGAUAAAUAAAAUUUAAAAAUAGUUUAACUAUUUUAAAAGUAAAAAAAAAAUGCCAUUUUUCGGCUGGUUGGCAGACUGACUGGGUUAAUUAGCAAGACAAAUUUUUUACCAAAUAAAAAGUAGGCAUACAUGCUUUCGAAUGCUGGUCUAUUUAAAACGUGGGGCUAUACUAGUUAUUAGCUGGUUUAAAUGCGGACCUAAACAGACUAAGGGGAACUAUUCAAUCUAAUUAAACUAAAAUAUUAAAUAUUUGUUUAUUUUGAAUAUAAUUAGUUUUCUCUUUUUUUAUUAUUUUAUACUUUUUUUGUGCUCCAACUAAAAAAUAAGUAGAUAUUUGUUAGUUAAUAUAUAUAUAUAUAUAUAUAUAUAUAUAUAUAUAUAUUUUGAAGGUACUGCAUUAUAUUAUUAGGAAUAUUAUAAGUUAGAAUUUAAUUUUGAAAUGUUAUUCCAAAAUUAAAAAUAAUUAAUAUUUAAAUAAAAUAAUAAGUAAAAAUGGAAGUUACAAGGGUGAUAGAAAAUAUCUUUGAAUUUAUAUUUUCAAGAGAAUUUUUUUUUCUUAUCCUUCAUUAUGGAAAUAAAAUUAUCCUAAGACACAAGAGUUUAACUAUUUUAGGAAUAUAUGAUACUCUGAUGAGACCAAAAUAUAUUUUGAUAACCUUUUAAUAAUCAUGAGAAUAAAUGUUUUUACUUUUAUAUUCUCGAGAAUGGAAAAGAGAUAACAUUAAACAAAUGCCACUUAUAUAUUGAAAUUAAAUGAAAUAAAUAAAAAUAAAUAUUCAUUGUCUUAAGUGAAUGAUUAAGAUUAAAAAUUAAUCAAAUUAAUAUUUAAAAAAUAUACGACUUUUAUUUAAUUUUAAUUAUUCAUAAAUCAAUAAUUGUUAUUGCUCAUUUUCAUGUGAAAGUAAUAUUCUUAUACAAGAUUAAUAAGAGUGUGAUAUGUGAACAUUGUUUUCAAUUUUAACAUGACAAAUAUAAAAAUCUAAAAGUUAUGUGAUUCUUUUAAGUCAAUCCAAUUUUAAGAAAUUUUUAAAAAGCUUGCAUAUGUUGUUUUUCGUCUUUGAAUGUCAGAUCUAUAUAACUUUUGAUUGCUGUAUUUUUUUAAUUUAUUCUUGAAAGUUGGAGUUUUUUUUUUAAAUUUUUUUGUCUUGUAUUCUAUUUUUGUAAUUAUCCCUGCAAGUUCUAAGUUUUCAUUUUGAAUUCCUAUGUUAAAUGUUCGUAACAAAAAUGUUACUUUUGCUAAUUUAUGAUGAUGUUAUCACGUGUGACACCAAUAAAAAAAUGAUAUCAUUAUGAUGUGUGUCACAUUAAUUGGUAUUACAUCAACAAUAAAAUAUCUCACAAAUAUUUGUUAAAAUUAAAUAUGAAAAUAAGAAAAAUAGUAGAAAGAUUAAAAAUUAAAAAAAUUAUAUGAACUAAAGGAAAAAAAAGUAACAAAUUUGUAGGCAUGAAAAAAUAAUUAAACUUAUAUAAUAUAUAAAUUAAUUUAAAAUUAAUAUAAAAUUAAAAUCUUAAAUAAAAAUUAAAAUCAUUAUAUAAAAACCACUUAUUAGGAUAACGUAUUGGAUAAAUAGAAUGCAUCUUAACUUAAAAUUAAUAUCACUUAAAUAUAAUUUUUCUAGUCCCCAAACACCUUACAUGCUAACCCAUACUUUAGAACUUUUGUUAGAAUCCGUCACUCAUGCUAUCAAUAUAGAGUAUAUGAAAACUAAAUUAAAGAUACCUUUCUACCUUUGUCUUAUGAUAAUAAACAACAACAAAAUCUUAUGCCACCAGUGAUCAUGUCAACUAAUCCUAUAGUAAAUCUUUGAAAAAAAAAUAGAAAACUCCAGAUUUGAUACCCAUUACCCAGUGAAAACAAAUAAAGUUUAAAACAAUUAACCUAUUCAUCUUGUUUAGAAAUCAACUAAAUAAAUUUAUGUGAUCGACGUGUAUCCGAUCCUAUAUUAACUUGAGUACUUUCAUAGUCUAAGGCAUGAAUGAGGAAUUCUAAGCCGAGAUAUAUUUGUGUGAUCGAUGUGUAUCCAAUCCUAUAUUAACUUGAGGACCUUCACAGUUUAGGACAUGACUAAUUAAGGGGUUGUCCACCAUAUCAGUACGUACAUAUAUAAUAUAGAAAUAAACUUCAGACACUAUAUUUAUUCUAAAUUAGUUUUUAGGACUUUAAAUUAAGGUAUUCAUGACUUUGCACUUUUGGAUAUAAAUACCAAUCCUUAUUUUUCUUAUUUUAAUUAAUAUAUUAAACAAAAUUUAUUUGUCUCGUAUAAUGAUUAAUUAGGAAGAUAUUCUUACGACUCACGAGCCUCUACGUAUCAUAUGGAAACUCGGGAUGAUUACAGAAUUUACCGUGCCAGGCAAAAUUUUCAAAAAUAGAAUGACAAGAAGGAAAGAGCACAAACAGACUCACUCCCAGUCCCAGAGUUAAAAGAAAAUGAUUGUUGCAGGACGGGUCCAUUAGAAUAUUAUUUAGAAUAAUUCAAGCCACUAAUUUUUUUUUAAUAAAAAAUGAAUUAGAAUUCAUACAUGACUUUACAAAUGUAUGUAUAAACAUAAAAAUAUUAAUUAUAAUUCGUACAUUAUAGUUACGAGUUUUAAUAACACAAAAUUAAAAAAUAAAGUAAAAAUGAUAAUUACAACUUCUAUAUUUAUUAGUAUUAAAUAGUAAAAUGUAAAAGUAAAGUCAUUAAAGUUUUCUACGACUUCAUUUGAUAAGAAUUAAUUCAAAUUCUACAAUAUUUUUAUAAUUUUAAAAUAAAAUUACCUUGCAUGGUAAAAAAAAGCCUAAAAAACCUCAUGAUGACUCAAUUAUCUUCUAACGAUGUAUUUAGAUGUCAGAAAAGAAAUUAUUAAAAAAAAUGGAUAGUAUUUUUUUGGUUAAAAAAAAUAAAAUAUAAAUUAAAAUUUUUCUUCAAAUUUUUUUUUCUUUCUCCCCGUUUUUCUUUUAUCUCAAACUAGAGGAUAAAUUAGUAAUCACAUCGGCAAGUUCUUUUAUGGCGAUAUAAAUUUUGUUGACAACAUUGGUAAAAAAAUUAUAUCUAUUUUACUAAAAGGAUUUAUAUUUAGUUUAUUGAUAAAGUUUAUAGAAAUAUUAUUAAUUUAUAUUGCAUAAAAAUAUACCCGAAUUUAUAAAAAAAAAUCUUAAAAAUAUGAAAGUUUGUGUAGUAUUGUAACAAGUCAAAAGCAAUAUAUAUUAUGACAGAUAACUGUCCUUCUAGUUCAAGUUGUUUUCUCUUAACAUAAAUUAUGUAAAAUCUUAAAAAAAACAUAAAUUAUGUAGAAUAAUAGUGACUUCUUCAGUGACAUUAAAGGGUUCUCGAAGUAUCCAUUUUCAAUGCAAACAGCACGUUGUUUACCACUUUGAUGUCAAUGAUAUAUAAAAAGUGGCCUAAAUUUGACAAAUAAAUUCCAGGAAUGGGACAUGCAAUGGACUGAUGCCAAAGAUUAUAACCGGCCACCAACACUUUUAAGUGAGAAAGCCAUCAAUUUGAAACAAUGUAAAGAGAUUAUCAAAGUUGAGAGUGCUAACAACCAACAAACCCAUCACUCUUGCAAUCACUAACACAUGGGUUAUGGUCCUCAAAGUCAAUGCAUCAGAUCACCUAGCUGUUUGGCACUUUGACUUGUUGGUACUUCAUAUAUACUAGUAGAUUUCAUUUCAUCAAUUUCAUAACCCAAUUUGGAUCACACAAAAGGGGCAAAUGGCACAUGUCAUAUCUUGAUACAUGUAUUUUCCUUUUAAAGUGGUUGAUCAAUUUUUAAUUAAAUUAACAGUAUACAGUGGCUGGUGGCAUACAUUAGUAGACACCGAAUUACACCAUUAAGAGCCGUGUGGUUCAUAUCACUAUAUAUGUUUUAAUUGUUUAAAAAUAUAGUAGUUAAAGUGUAGUAAAAAAUACUGCAUGUAAUAGUUUAAAUUUAAGUAUACACCUAAAACCAAAUGUAUACUCUAUAAUAGCUGAGUACAUCUUGCUACAUGAAUACCAAUAUACCCUCAAAAGUAUUAGACUGCUUAGAGAAUGUUGCUGGAUAGAAUAUAGACAAAGAAAAUGUCAGAAAAAAUUUGAGAAAUACUAUUCAGAAAGUAAAACACAGAUGAUAGAAGGAGAAGACACAGAUGAUAGAAGGAGAAGAGAUAUUAUAUAAAAUUGUUAAAUUUAUUGUGUAUAAUAGAAAUUAUAGUUAAAGGAUUCAAAACACUCUCAAACUCUUUGAACCUAGAAAAUAAAGCUCUUUACAAAGAAUACAAUAACUAACUGUCUAAUCGAAAAUUAUUACAACAGAAAAAUAAAAAACAAUUACAAUUACAACUCAACUUAUGUUAAUUAACAAAUAGAUUAAAUGAUCUAUUCAGAAGACAAGAGUACAAGAGUAUUAGACUAGGCAAUCAUUGUCGUCCACCCUAUUUCUAUCAUUCAUUGUCCAACAAUCAAUAUAAAAUCUAAGAAAAAGAAAUAUAGUUAGAUAACAAAGAUUCAACUCUUCUCUACUAUGGCUAGAAGAAGAAACUACAAGUCAUCUCUCACAUUCUCAUGCUCCUUUUCAUCAUGGAAAAUGUCCUUGACUAGCUUGUGGUUCAAGUGUUUUUUUUAUCACAAAUAUUAGUAGUUAAUUGUUAAUUUUUUGUUAGCAAGAGAGUCGAACCCACAAUUUUUCUUUCUUUCUUUUCAUCUUACUACCAAAUUGAUCUUAUAACUUUCUUUGGGGUUCAAGUGGUAAUGUCAAAUGAUAGUAGGAAUCAUUUGUUACAACUUAAAUAUAUUAUGAUCUCACAGGAAAAAAAAAUUAAAAAAAGGCUUGGUAGGUAGUGUGGUUUGCCUCAAUUUGGUCUAUAUAUAGCUACACAGAAAUAAUAUAAUAUCAUUAUAAUAUCAUUUUUAAAGGUGAGGUUACAAAUGCUGAGUGUUUAUUAGACCUAAAGUGUAAAUCUUAGUCUUGGUUAAUAUAAAAGCAAAGGGUUUUCUUCUUUAUAUAAAUGGUCAAUUGACUCGAUAUUGCUAUAUAUAAAGACUUGUAAUACUAUAAGUAAGAACAUUGUAUAAGAAUUUAGUACCUCUAAUGUAAUGUUUUUUGACUAAUAAAAAAAUAUGUUAUUGCAAAGCCGAGUUGAGAGAAGGAAAACAAUGAUUUUCUUUAGUCAGAGUUGUAUCGGAUAUGGAUGUAAUCUCACAUAUUGUUGUCAGUUUCAGCCUUGAUGUUAUAGUCUUAUAGACGUCAUAAUUGAGGGAAUAUAUAUAAGUGGACAAUAAAGUGAUUGAAAAUGGCUCAUCUAAAUAUAUAUCAAGUGCUGGAUAUGGAUAGGCUUCAAUGGUGGACAUGAAUAUGCGCUUUUAAUGCUUAUACAUCAAGUAAAGCAGCUUCCCCUAUUCGAGGAAAUAGUUGUUCUCUUCUUUUGCCCCACUUAUCCUUGUGCCAUGCUAUGAUGAAUUUGUGGAGGUCUCAUAAGAAAAAAGUUCAAUGCUUGUUGAUGAAUCCAAUCAACCACGAUUUCUUGUGUUAUCCUAUUCUCACGAGUAGUGAAUGUUAUUGACUAAUUUUAGGCACAUAUGACAUCAUGAUAUGCGACCUUUGUAAAACCAAUGGUGCAUGAUGCUAAGUAAUUAUGAGUAGUAAUUAUAGUUACAAUUCCUAGUAACUAAAACUCCUUUAAGGGACGAAAUUUUAAUGGACAAGUGUAAGAAUGUCAUCUGAAUAUGAGUUCCUACCUAAGCAAUAUAAAUAAACUAGUUGCAAGAUGUGAUAAUUUGAAGCAAUCAUGCUAAAUUGAUGCAAUGAUGCUUUUGACCCUAUAAUCUUACACCGUUUUGGUAGCAUUGCAUCAUUUUAAAUUGCAUCAUAUAACGAGAGCUAGCUAGGUGUCGCUUGCAGGUGCUAGUUGAAGGAUUAUCAGAGAGCAAUAGAACAACAGAACAAAAUUAAUUAAAAUAAAUUGUAUUUCUAUCAGCAGAAGUACACAUCAGAAAGUCAUCGACUUAUAAUGAUAAAGUGGACUUAAACAAGUCAAUCUCAGGGUCAAUUCCAAUAUAUCGAUACCAUUCAAAGAUAUAGACGUUUUAAAAUCAUGCAAUUGUCUUUUGAAGUCACAAUUCACAAUAAGAAAGACAGACAAAAGAGGGGCUCAAGAGAACAUUUCAAAUAAAACAUCAAAUCAAUUAUUAAAAUUAUAAUCUUCAAUUAACUUUGUCUUUAAAUUUAAAAAAUAAUUAAAAUUGAUUCAAAUGUAUUUGUUUAUUAAUUUGAUUCUUGAAAUCAGAUAUUAUUAACUAUUUUAGUUCAUAAUUAUUGAAGUAUAAAUGUGAAUAAAAUCCAUAUUAGUUAGGAAUGAAAAAGUCAAAGAACAUGUAAUCAGGAAGACCAUAAAUUUAAUGUUUUAAGAUUUUAGAUUAAAAUAUGAUAUGAAUUUUUUAAAAAUUGAUUGAUUGGUAAUUGUAAAAUUUAGGAGCUAAAUUUGUACUUUAAAUAUUAAGGAUCGAAUUAAUAAUGACACUUAUUUCAGUCAUUAAAUUGAUGUUUUACUUGGGAAAUUUUCCAAAAGAUUAGUAGUCUGCACCAUGUAAAGCAUGCUCUAAAUUACUGACAUUUGUAAUUUGUGCUAAAAUUGCAUAUAUGUAAGGUAUAGGCAAUAGGCACACCGCAUAUUCCUAGUUUACCAAAGAAGAAGAAGGAAGAAGAAACAAAAAACGAGAUUGUUCCAUCGGUAUUUGGGUGCUUAAAUAAUUUAGAGUGAUGCUAGGUGCACCCACGCUUUAAAAAAAGAUCUCGAAAGCAUUGUAAAGCCUAUGCCAAAUUAUUAACGCGUUCACCUUCCACAUAUGCAAAACUGGCAGAGAAUGUCAUCCCAGUCGGUGUCAUCCCAACAAAAUCGAGCACAACAAAAUCGAGCAGUGGGAGUCUGUAUCGAUUUGUUUUGUAGGUGCUAUCUAUCAAAAAUACCAAAUUACAUGCGUUGACUAACUUCACUGAAUCAGGGUGACACCAAAAGAUAUCACGAACCACGUCUUCAUCCUUUAUUCUGUGCCAAUGAAUAUACUGAUCACGUUCAAGAAACUUCAUCAAAUGUUGCAUUUCAAGAUCGCUUCCUCUUAUGGAAGAACGGAAUGCACUUCUUACAUUGUAUAUCUGUUUAAUGGUCAUACAGCUAUUGGUAUUGUGUUCCUUCAGAGUUAGCAGAAUGUUUCUUGGCUUCACCAUGGACUUCGUCAUAUCAGCAAUAAGUGUUUUUUUAGCUUUAGUCAAUCGCCCUGCAUAUGGAUGUCCAACUAAUGACUUGACCAAUUCAUGAUUAUGCACUCCACAAAUCAACUUCACCACCCAGCCUUCUCCUCCAACCGCUGGCUUGCAACGAAGCUUGAAGGGACACCCACAUUUCCUAGUCCCAGUGUCUCUUCUGAUAAAUUCUUUUUUCCUACACCUAUACUCGCCACUCCUUUCACAGCCAAUUAACACAAAUGUAGUCAUUCCUCUACUACCUGUGUUUGAGUCCGACCCUAAAAUCACUGUCACAAAUCCGUUUUCAUGAGCCACGGAUCAAGCCCACCGCAAAACAUUCUCUCAGCACUCAAACACCUACAAAGAAAUCCACAUAAUUUUUUUUCUACUAGUAUUCAUUUUAUUAAAUCUGUGACAAACAUUAACAUUAUAACUUGAGAAGUGUUGAACACAUCCGAACAAUCAACAUGUGGUUCAUUCGCACCACAUGCUUCUUCUGCAUUUUCAUAAUCCAUAUCCGCUCGUUCAAACAUUAUUUCAUACAUCCACUCAUCUUCGUCCAUCUAACCAAAUCAAACAAAAAAUGGAAAAAAAUUAGUAAUUUAACAGGAAAAAAAGGAAAAUAAAUUAAAAAACAGCAAAUACCAAAAAUAAUAGACUUACAGAUCAACUUGAUCCGGAAGUGUGUUACGGAUCAAGUUGAUCUGUAACAAUUACGAAUCAACUUGAUCCGUAACAGAAUUACGGAUCAACUUGAUCCGUAAAUGAACCGUACGUCCACGACAAACGCCACACCCUCUGCGUACCUCGUUUACCGCCGCCAACCACCGCAAUGCACCUUCACCUUCACCGCACCUAACCUUUCACAGCGAACCAACGAACCCGAGAGAAUGCCGAACGAAAACCACAAAAACACAGAAAAAAUGGAGGCUUUGUGCUUUUCUGCAAAAAAAAUUAUAAGUAAAAAAUAGGCCGGGGGUAUUUUUGCCAUUUAAGAAUUUUGCUGGGUGCACCAGCAAAAAUGCUGGGUGCACCUAGCAACACUCAAUAAUAUAUGAAAAAAAAAGACUAGUUUUAUAAGAUUUGAACUUGGGCUACUUCUCAUAUCUAAGGCUCGAACCUAAUAUAUUUAUGUGAUAUAGAGAUUUUUUUAAAAGGUAAAAUGAUCAUUUCAUAUCUUAAAUUAUUAUAUAUGAUAAAUUUAUUAAUUUUAAUGAUAGUUUAUUAAUGAUGACAUCAAGGGGUGAAAAUAGAUUUGGAUAGUUGAGUUCUAUUAGACCUGAAGGUUUCUCAAAUCUAUGGCUCGAGCCUAAUAUAUUCAUUUGAAGCAGAGUUUUUUUUUAAAGACAAAUUGACCUUUAUAAAAGUUGUCUAACCUCUGAAAACUUAUUUUAGAAGUCUAAUUAAUGGUAAGGCCUAUUAAAGAGGUUAAAAAACUAACUUACAGACUAACAGGCAAAAAUUUACUAGUUAUGCUGUUAAUAACCAUUAACCAAUAAGACUUCGUUAACUUGUGUUAAGCUAUGGAACUAAAAAACUUAGAUACAUUACAGGGAUCAAUUAAUUAUAUAAGUUGUCUACUUAUCAUAGUAUUGUAAAACCUAUCCAGCGUCACCACGUGUGAGUGGAAUAGUUUUUCAAGUUAUUUUUUUAGUGACUUUUUUAGUCGCUUCUUUGUUUUAAUUUAAAAACUGUGCAAUGCACAGAUGGGUUAAACAACCUCAUCCCAUCAAAGAUGAUUGGUGUAAUUAAUAUUUACAACUAUCCAUUUUAAAGUACAUAAGAGAUUUUUACCAAUUGUCUAUGAUGAGUUACAUUUUUAUUUAAGAUAAGUUAGACAUGCCCUUAACCAUAUGGCACCAUUGAAAUAUAGAGUGAAUUAAUUAAUUCCAAAACUUGUUAAACUGAUCAUUUUAACUGUUCUUAAAUAGUUGGACUAGUCUACAACAACUUGUUUAAGUCCCUGUCACAAUCAAACUAAAUUAAUCAAUGUCUUCUUCCAUAAUCGUUGACAGAUAAUGAGAUAAAGCAGAAAUGUAACAACAUUAUGCAGGCAAGAGUUUAUGAAGUGACUCGCACCCACAAGUGUGUACAAGUGAAUUUAAAUUUUGUAUUGCAAUUGCUAGCCCCUUUUAACCUCAUCAAUAUUAUAGCUUCAAGAUUUUAAUCCAAUUAAGUUUUAAUUUCUAAUUUUCUUUUGAACUGUUUGAUCAGAUUGUUUCUCACAUUUCAUCUCUUUUCUUUCCCCUAAGGAUUUAAAGAAUUCCACAACAACUAAAAUUUCAAAAAUGAUUCUCAAAGGCCCCCUUCAAAGUUUAAUGUCAUUAGCUCAUUUACCAAAUGUCAGCUAUAAAGAACUUCAAAGGUGACUCUGAAAACAGAUUCAGAAGAGGAGUAAAUCCUUGCAGUUCGCUGAGAAUAAGCAUGGUGGCGAAAUUGUCUUCAAUACUUACAAAAUUGUGCCACUUGGAAUUUGUUGCUUAUGAGCAGAAGAGGAAGAAUUAAGCUAUUGUUUACAAGUUACAACAGAUUGUAAGCAGGCAGGUCUUGUAUUUUGUUGAUGUCUUCUAAGGAUAGCUCUCUCUCCAAUUGCAUUCUUGUUGCUUGUAGAACAUCCUAAAGCCAUGCAAUAAUUUGCAGUGUCAAUGCAUUAAAGAAGUUGAAAUGAUCAAACAAUACAUUAGUGUGUGUUUCAGACAAUCAUAACUAAAGCAGUUCGUGAAAAAGAGAGAAAAAAAAAUUGGAAAGUUUCUGUAAUACCAACUUUAUGUGAAGAGUCCUUACUUAGUUACUUCCCCGUUACAAUUUUGCUUCAUUAAUAUCUUCUAUGAUUCUUUCCAAAACUUGUUCUAUUUAAUCUUAGAGAAGUUUUAAUGUCCUUGAGUAAUAACAGAAAAUAAAGUUUCUCUUACUAUAAGGAAAAGUGGCCAUAAAUAAGAUAUGGAAAUUAAACAAUUUCCAAGAUCAGAUAUAAAUUGAAAAGUAGCCUUAAUAUCAAAGUACUUGCCAUUUCAAAACUCUAAUCUAAUCUUAUUUUUAUUUAUUUAUUUUCCUUUGGUAUUAUCUGUAGUGGUUGGAGGCCCAGGAAGAUAGCAAUAGAGCACAGGACAACAGUAGGCCCAAGAGGAUCAUCAGGAAACCAGCCCACUACAAGGACUUUGUUACACAAUUAGCUCUUGCUAACUAGACAAUAGGAUAAUGCAAAAGAUAAUUCUGUUGUAAGAAUUGGUUAGUGACAACAAACUAAUUCUGUUAUUUCCAUUUCAUGUUUGUUACGGCACAGCUGGCCAACUAGUGGUUUUCAGCUUUUGUUAUCCAUUUCAUGUUAUAAAUACCAUAUUUGGAAAUAAAGUCAGCAAGAAGGAAUUACCUAUAGCUUGUAGUGAUUAGUAGAUAAUUACGUUCCUAACAUUGGACUAGGAGGGAAAAGACAUGAAGGAUUGGAGAUACAGAAAACGCAGGGAAUAAAAAAGCGUACGUUAAAAUCCAUGUAGGAAGCAUGCAUAGCCAGCCAUUGUGCAUCCAUCAUCUCAAAUGCUAUACAGUAUAGAACAUCGAAUGCUUCUUCAUUUUCUGCGGUAAGAUGUAAUGAGACUUAUGAGCAUUUGAAGGAGUAAAACAUCAAAAAGCUCCUGGAAGUGGUCAAAUACAUGCAAGCAUUUGACAAGGGCAGAUUAAGAUGUACCACACCUCCUAAUAACUUAACAAAAUUCAUGCCUGGAAGACAUCGUGGCUUUUCUGCAACAAAAAAAAAAAAAACGAAAAAAAAAAGCAUUUAGUGGAAAUGUUAUUAGAAAAUGUACUUUACUUCCUCGCUUUUUGAUAAAGGGAAAGAUUUACAAACGCCAAAAGGUCAAACAACAAAAUCAAUACAUAAAGUUAAAAGAAAAAGAAAAAGAAAAAGAUGUUGACCAAAUGCAACUCAUGCCAUAUCUGUGUCUCGUAUUGUGUCCCUACUUUCUAGCAUUUUCCCCUGGUGCACUGGGCUACCCUUUACUGUUUAUAAUAGCAGAAUCAGUGGAAUGAAUAAUGCAUUGUGAAAUUGUACACAAACCUGAGCAUAAAUCCAACAUCUGUAUCAACAUAAAUGAUAUAUUAAUGCCAGCAACAGCAAAUGGAUAUUCCCAGGUUGCUCUCUUUCCAUCUUUUUUCAACAACAGCUUGUGAAAAGAUUCCUUCAUUUGAAUUUCCAUAAAAUUAGUUAUAACUCAUCUUGUCUGCCAAGAUAGAUAUCAAGGAACUAAAAUGAGAGGACAAAAAGGCUCAUCAAGUUCUUUCAGAUACACAGAAUAGAAGACACAAAUGCAUACCGGAUAUUUCCUUGCGAAAAACAGUAGAUUUUCAAGGGAAAUGAAGCCACACCCCCUGAAGAAAUCAGGAUAUUAGACACAAUACCUUGAAAUAGAAAAUUUUGAGGUAAUGGAAAGGUCAAGCAUAAUGCACUCUCUUUUAAGUCUGUAUGAACUAGUGUUUUCACAUAAUUUGCAAUUACUAAUUAGAAACAAUGAAGUCACCAUAUCAAUUAGGUUGGGAUCAUUGUUAAAGAUAAGGAAAGAAUCUACUCACUUGAAGUCUCUAUGAACAAGUGCUUUCAUAUAAUAUUCAGUUAACUAAUCAGAAAUUAUCAGCUCAGCAUAUUAAUUUGGGAUCCUCCAUAAUAUAUUAAAAGAAUUGGUCUAUUGAAGUUCUCUAUAGUCAUGUCCUUGUGUGCUUAUGGAACAAGCAACGCAUAGAUCCCUAUGACUAGAAUUUAAUCCCUAGUAGCUAUCUAAUAAAACUGAUAUAUGAAGGAUCAUCAAAUUUCUGUGAAAUGAAAUGAUUUGGUUUAAUUCUGUACCAUACAUUAAAGAAUCAUUAAAUGUAAGGGGAAAAAAAAUAGUGAAAAUUCCAUGCUACUAUAAACCUUAAUGCAAAGGGAAAGUGACGAAAAUGCCUUGAGAUCUUAUAAGAACAUGUAAGUGUACCUAAAGUCAGUCGAUGGAUUAGGACCUUGCCAUCCCAUAUCUUUCCAUUGGUCAGAUAUUAGGCCUUCCAGAGAUACAUUAGGAAAGGAACAAUGCCACAAAGCUCUUAGUGAUUCCUGUUGAAAGUUAAUGAUUUUGUGAGUUAAAUGUGGUAUAAACAUAACAUGUCAAAAGUUGAAAGUAUUCCUAAACUACAGGGUAGGGUCUGUCUUCCUAAGAACCAGAAAUGAAGCUUGAAUUUUCAAGAAGCAAACUGAAGUUUUGAUAAAUAAAGAGGCAAAAUAGGUUCAUGAAAAACAGAUAUACUUGAUGAUCAGGUCGAGUCUCAUCAUAAGGAACUUGCAGCCGUUCUUGAAGCCUUUGAAGUCUUUCCUCCUGACAUAAACAUAGAAACAAAUUAAGCUCAGAGUCUGUAAUAACAGUAAGUCACAAUUGAAAAUAAACAGAAAAUCAGAAGGAAAAUUUAACAAAUCACCAUCUUCUGUUUUACCUCAAUAGGACUCAAAGGAUAAUCAAUGAAUUUGUCAUCUCGCUUGGUGGUUGUGCGGUGAAAGAGUCCUCCUAUCCAUGAUCGUGAUCCAACCAUAGCAUUAGCUACGUGUAACAAAAUAUAGAUCAACACUGAAAGAAAACUUGGAUGAUCAAUAAAAUGAUAUAGGACAGAAUCAUCAUGUUGUUGUGUUGUUGAGUCAUUAUAGACUUUGAAAUACUGAAUUUCAGAGUUGAAAUAAGUUCUUCUAAUGCAUUCUGAAUAUUGUGUGUGUUUUGUUUGCUAAUACAGAAAACAGAAUGCAGAAGAGGCAUUCCCUUAAACUGUCUUUUGAAAGAAAGUCCUAGAGAAGUAAGAAACGAAUCUUGGAUAGGACAAAACAACCAAUGAAACUCUUUUUUUCCUGUUUGAAAGGCAGAGUUACUUUAAUUUCAUAUGUAGGCUUGAAUUAUCAAGAGCGCUCUCAAAAUGAAACUGCCAAACAAAAAAUUACUACUUAUUGAUAGAAAUAACUAGCAAACUAUAUCACCAUAUCUAGAAGGAUAAUUUACAUGAGAAAGCAUGAAAAUCUGAUAGUUUAAGUAUUUUACUGGAACUGUUUGAGAUUUCUAGUUUAAGUAUUUUACUGGAACUGUUUGAGAUUUCUCACAAUGUUCAGUAACCCUCCACAUCCUCAUUGACUUAUAACAUCAAUCAAUUAACAUAUUGAUUGAAAAGAGAUGAAAAAAUCUAUAGAAACAGAAAGAGAUCAAGAUAAACAAAUGUACUCACUAAAACAUUGAGUAAACUGAGAUAUUAAGUGAGUGGAAUUAGGUGUCCAUUCCAACUCUUCAUCUUCCUUUCUGCGUCUCCAAUAAAUCUCAUCCUCGUCUACCUGUAUUUCAAUUUUGAAAGCAUCCAUAAGCAAAGAGUGAUAGCAUAAAGACAAUACGAACAACUUGUCAAUGUACCAAAACAAUUGUCAAAUUUUAAUUCCGUGCAUUUAGAUGAGUAAAUCAUAGCAUGCUAUCUCAAUGUGCCUAGAAGAAUUUGUCAGGAAAGUAAGGCGACAAACAUACUUUUGGUUUCUGACUUAGUAAGAAGAGAUGCUUGAGAUUCAGAAGCUAUACAAUGAUAAGAAACAAUUACACAAAAGAUUAUUGAACUAAAUAGCAGAUAAGAAACACCUGAAAAACACUUGAGACUACUACAUCACUGUCAGAUCAAGAACUAAUGGAAAAACGAAAUGCAAGUCAAUUCAAUCCACAUAUGACAAAUUAUUUAAAAUGCAUUACAGUUUGGUAAAAAGAGACAAUUUCUGAAUGAUGUGACAAUUCUUUAAUUCCUUUUGAGAGUCUACAUUAUCAACAUUUUUCUCAAGGUGAAUUUUCAGACAUGGAGCUUAUGAUAGAGAGAAACAUGAGAAAACAAAGGUGAAUUUACUUUGCGAAGAGAGGAACAAGAAGGAAAACAUCGUUUACGCUUCCUCAAUCUCAUGAGGGUGCAAUCAGGAACAAGGGUCAUUCAACCUUUUUUUCUUUUAACCGAAGGCAAAAGGAAGAAAAAGACAAGUUCAUUUUGAAACAAAUGGGUGAUCUAUGAUUGCACUCAAUUCAUGCACCCCCUCCCCUAUAAUUCAACCUCCCCAUCAUUCAUAUGCUGUUUAUCCGCUGAUUUCAUUUGUAGCAAUUACUAGAAAGAGAAAAAAAAUUAAGAAAACCAAAGUGCCAACAUAAUUGAAGGCCAAACCUGAGGUUACAAAAGCCAUGAUUACACGUUGAAAUUGAAAUAGAAGGGCAAGCAUAACAAAGGGAGUCUCUUUUUUGCUUAGCUUUAUGCUGUAAAGAAGUUAGUGAUGCAAAAGAAGAUUUGAAAAGUUGGGGUUGGUGUCUCUGCUCUGCCUAGCAUUGAUUUUUGCUUUUUCUAGCCCACCAACUUUUCAUACAAGAUAAACAUGAUAUUUGUCCUAUCUAGGUAAAGCAUAGGAAUAAAGACAUGUAAUGUAAUGUAACAUAACAUAGCACAAUGCAAUGUAAUGUUUGAUACUUUGAUAUCUAGAUAGAUAGAUAAUAUAUAUAUACCAGCUAUGUGAUGUUAGGGUAUCUCAGAAGAGGUGUCAAUGGUUGUGAUGUUGUUGUAGGUACUUGGUGGUGUUGAUGUCAGAAAGAGAGCCACUAGAACAGUAGAGGGAAGUGGUGGGGCCAGAAAGAAGAAGGGAUAUGGGAAGUAGAAAAAUGGCAUUUUUGUUUCAGAUUGAGUUUUGCUUUUGCAUUGAGGAAGGGUCUUGUGAUGGUUUGUUUUGUGUGUCUGUUUGUGUAGCUUUGGAUGCCAUACAUUUUCCCCACUGCUAGCCUAUACCGUAGUUCUCGGUGCUGCCCAAACUAUGUGCUUUCUUUGGCUCUUUUUGUAAUGCAAGGGUCCAAAUAAUAGCAUGAUUAUUGAUGAGUUUUUUUUAAAGACUUUUUGAUGAGUUUUUAACUACAAGAAAAACCAUCCUAAUAUGACACUAUUAUUAUAAAUCUGUUUGUGUGAUGAGUUAUUGUUUUGAGAUGGAAUUGAGAUUUUAGUAUACUAUUAUGGAUAACAAGUGGCAACGGCAAUUUUUUGUUUUGAACAAACCACCAAUUUAGUCCUUCAAUUUAUUAUCAGCUCUCCUAGAUAGUCUUUAAAAUAAUGUAAUUAUAUAAAAAGUUUCCUAAAGUAUUAAAUAUUUAUCGGUUUAGUUUCUAUGUUAAUUUAUUUUGCUAAUGUUUUUGGAUUAAUUUAAUUUUUUAUGCUUUGAAUCAUUAUAUAACAUGAUUUCUAAUAAUUUAGGAACUAUUUAUAUAAUUUUAUUAUUAAAUUAAUGGUUUAUUCUUUUUUUUUUAGAGACUAAUUUUUUUUAGGUACAUUAAUUUAUUUAAUGGAUAGACUCUUUUCCACAGAUAUUCUAUUCAUAUAAAUUUAUAGAUUGAAUCUUUUAUCACAUAAUUAAUGGAUAUCAUUAUUUACUAAGCAUGUCACGCGUGGGACAGAUUUUGUUUUAAGGAAAUUCACACACUUGUAGGUAGAAGCAUUAAGGACCGUGUUCACGAUCCAACAAACUCAAAGGUUGUUGAUCAAUGACCACGUGUCAAUUUUAUUUUUUUUGUUUUUAUGUGUCAAAACUGCCACCUCAUUAGUCAUCAUUCCGCCUUGUAAAAUGACAUGGUCGUAAUUUUAACAGAACAGUUAAUAUGGGAAGCUAUUAUUCACACUACAAAAUUUCCUUUUCUCAGUACCCAUGUGAAUAGUUUUUUGCUAAUUUCCAAAAUUACCCUUCUCACUAAAAUACAAUUUCGUUCUUGUACAGCAAAAUUGUGUUUUCAUUGUAUAUAGUUGGGGCGAAAAAAAAUUAAACUUGACAGGGUGGGGUUGCAUGCAAUGUGACACUACUGGAUCUUGAAGGGGAUGGGUGGCGUAAAUCUUGAAUGGGGAAAGGUGGCACAGGAUGAUCGAAUCUAAACACAGUGGGCUAGCGCAAUGUGAUCUGGUCGUAUCUCAAUGGCAGGGCAGUGCUGCAGGGGAAUGGGAAGUCUGAGGGGUGUAGGGAUUAUUGAGUGGAUAAAAGAGAGAUCGUAUAGUUAAAAAGGUGGUUCAAGUUUCUAUAAAUAAAAACAAUAAGUAAAAAAAAAAGGUAAAAUCGAACUUAGUUAGCUAUGGUACUCUACUUUAUUUUUCACAUCUUAAUAGCGCAAGAUAACUUUUGCACUCCAUAUCAUUCAAGUUGGUUUAUUAUUUACACAAAUCACUAGUAUUUUUACAACUAUUCUCCCUCACACCACCAAAACUUGGUCACAAAGCAGUCGCCCUGACAGUAUAAGCACGCUGAAGAAGGAAUUGAUCAUCCUGAAGAAAUAUAACCGGAAGCACUACCACACGGACCAUAUACUACCAUAGGAAAGAUUCUCAAUAUUUUUUUAAAAAAAUGAGCAAGAAAAUGAGUGAAAUGCAUAAAUGAAAGGAUCUAAUUGACGUGCAUGCCAAAACUGAGAGAAAAAGAAAAACCAUAAAGAAAUGUAUUCUUUAAAUCCAUAUGCUCCAAGUGCAUGUCAUGACUGAUUACCAAGGCUAGCACUAUCUGAUAGAAGUGUGUCUUACGAUUGGAGAGAAAAUCUCAUCAUAAUCAAUCACUUUUUGUCAUGCAUACCCCUUUGUUACUAGGGGAGUCUUGCACUUUCCCUCCUUUUUUUUUUUUGAUACAGGAGGUUUCCUCUUGUACACCCAUUUGCAUCCUAUGGUUCUUUUGCCCACAAGAAGGUCAAGUAGCUCCCAUGUCUAAUUCUUUUGUAAAGACUUCAUCUCCUCCACCAUGACACCCAUCCAUCUGUCUUUUUCCUGGCUAUUCAUAGCCUCCUCAAGGGUAGAAGGAUCUCCAACACUAGUGAGAAGUGGAAAAGCAACUAAUUUAGUUAAUUCUUCAAACCAUAUCGAACAAUGGGUUUAAUGGUGUGACGAUCUCUGUCUUUGACAAGAUUGUACUACUGAUGUGGUCCACCUAAACUCACUGAUCCAGGCUCAGGUGUGGGUGUGGCCUUAGAUCUUGGACUGCAUGGUUCUUCCCUUUCAAGAAUCACCACAGCUGCUUAAAGUCCCCCUAAACCUCCAUGGAGCUGGGGGGAAGCUCCAUCAGACACGGGCACAAUUGUCUUAACUAUCUUUGGUAACAUGGAUUGCUAAUCAAAACACUGCAUCCCUGCUAAUCACCAAUUUCUUGGAAAUAGGAUCCCAAAACUUGAACCCUUUCACACCUUUGGAAUAACCUACAAAAACAUACUUUUUCAACUUUGGAUCAAGUUUAGAUUUCUCAUCACCAGAUGUAUGCAUAAAAUAAGACACCCAAAUAUUCUCAAAUUAUUAAAAUCAAAAGGGUUACCUGUCCAGACUUCCUUUACAACAUUCCUAUCCAAUGAUGCUAGUGGUUAUUGAUUGAGUAGAUAGCACACAAUAAUCACUAUUUUUGCCCAAAAGCCUUUAGAAAGGUCAACUUGCAACCUCAGACACUAGGCCCUUUCAGUAAGGGACCUAUUCAUCCUCUCUGCAACACCAUUCUAUUGUGGUGUUUUUCAUAGUGAUAAAUGUCUUUGAAUGUUAUGUUCCUCAAAGAAUUUCUAGAACCAUGAGUCUGUGUAUUUCAUGUCAUUAUCAGACCUUAAGUACCUAAUCUUUCUGUCCAUCUGCUUUUCCACCUCAUCCUUCCACAGCUUGACCUUCUCAAAGACUUCAUAUUUCUGUUUCAUGAAGUACACUCAGACUUUGCAAGAAAAAUCAUCAAUGAAGGUCACAAAAUAGUGAGAACCACCCAAGGAAGAAUCUCUAGUAGGACCUCACACAUUAGUAUGCACAUAAUUUAGAAUGCCCUUAGUGGUAUGCUUCACAACUUGAAACUGCACUAAUCUAUUUCCCAAGCACACAGUACUCACACACAAACAUUUCAUUAACUUGGUAGCAAUUUGCAUGCUCUUUCACAGAGUAAAUCACUCUAACUCAAUGGAAAACAAUAUUAUCAAGAUUCUUUAUAGGGAACAUUUGAAUUUUGGAUAAAGGUGAUUAGUAAAAUCAAUAAACUAUGUUAGUGCGCAGUUUGAUCAGUGAUACUUCUGAUUUUUCAAACAAUGGUUGGUGGCAUAAGGUGAGUGUAAGAACUUUAUAUAUAUAGAACUAUUUCUAAAUGACCUAAACAAAUGUUUUAAGCUAUGAUCGUACAGCAAGUAGACCACAAUGGUGAAAAGCUCAACAUUUUCACAUAGCAUGAGUCUCACAUGUUUCAAUGAACCAAAGUUAACAAGGGGCCGCUCUUACACAGUACUCCCAUUUGGUAAAACAUUCAAUUAUUCAUGCAACAAAAUGGUGUAUGGAUUUGAUAGCUAAUUGAUAUGUGAACAAAAACCAAUUUAUCUAAUGAUUCUAAUAUAGUCUCAGAUAAGUUAAUUGGGGAAACACUAGUUGUUGUACAUGCAGAGAAUCUGAGAUUUCUAUAUGUGACAUUCUCUAAAUUUUAAAAUAUGUUGAAUUAAAAUGUGUGAUCUUCCAUACAAAUUAUUUUUCACUCUAUUGUGAGAGAAUUAUUUUAAUUUGUUUACAAAUUGUUCUUGUUUAGACAUUUCUUUAUUGAUCCAAUGUUGAUAUAAAUUUUAUUAUUUAAGCAUAUAUGUGGGGAAAAACUUUAUUGUUAUGACUUAGAACCACACAUGAUGCAUCCAUGGGCAUUCAAUCCAUCAAAGUUGAGUUGGAUAAACAUAAGUAUUAGGACUAUACUUCCUUUGUCCCUAAUUAUAAGAUCUUUUUUAGAAAUUUGUUUAUCCUUUUUAAUAAGAUUCUUUUCUAAUUUCUAGGUGCAUAAAUUAUUUUUUUAUUACAUAACCUUAUUUAAUUAUUCUCUCUCCAAACAUUAAUGAGAAACAAUUAAGUAGAUAGAGAGAUAAGAAUAGGGUAAUUUUCAAAUGAUAGUAUACAUAAUUGAUAAAUUUAAUGUGAUUAACUAAAUUAAUUACUUUUCUUAAAGGGCGUGAAUUAGUUGAAAGAGUCUUAUAAAUAAUGGUAAAUAGUCACUUUUGUCCUUCAAUGUGUAAUUUGCUAACAAAUACGUCCCUAAAAGAUGAGAAUACAAAAUUUAGUCCCUGAAAGUGUAAAAAGUGCGACAAAUAUAUUCGGCCAUUAACUUCCGUCUGUCACCGUUAAUAAAAUAACCUACGUGCCACAGAAGGACAAAUUUGUCACUAAAAUGAUUGACAAUGUGGAUUGCCAGCAUAUGGGCAUAUCUGUCAUAAUAUUUUUUUGACUUUUCGUCUUCCCUCUCCGCUGACAAACGCGUCCCUGAAAGAUGAAAAUAUAGAAUUUAGUUCCCGAAAGAAUAAAAGUACAACAAAUAUAUCCGAAUGUUAAUAAUAGAUUGUGACUAUUUAUUAUUGUUGUUGUUGUUGUCGUGUUUUUGUAAAUUACUGCUCCUAUUCCUUUUGUACUUAUGCAAUAUAUUUUUUAAAUUGCCUUUUAAUAUAUAUAUUUUAUUAUUUUGAUUUCCUUAUCAAACCUUAAUCUUUACUGUUAGAAAAAACUUUAUCUUAUAUCUUAUAAUUUUAUCAAAUUUCUACUAAAUUCCUCUUUUAAUCUUUAAAAUUAUUCCAUAUCCUAAUUCCAACUUAAGUAUCCUUAUAUUUAGAUUGAAAAUAAUAUGUUGAGAGUUUUGAGUAGAAAAAAAAAAAAACAACCAGCCGCGAGACCAAAUUUAUUUAUUUUAAAAAAAGAAUUUAGUCAACUAUUUAUUUAAAAACAAGUCUCACAAAAUUUAAACUAUUCAAAGCUAAAGUGAAAUUAUAAGUUUUUUUUCCUUAAUCAAUAAUAUAUAUAUAUAUAUAUAUACCUCAAAUAUGAAAUAAUCCCUUAGAUAAACCUCAUGUGUUUCCACUCGAGACAAAACUUAUUAUACAUAAUAUGAAUGAAAUAAAAAUAGUUACUAACAAAUAAAGAACCCAAAUAAAUUUAAAUAAAAAAUACAAUAAUGUUCAAACUAAUACAGAGGUUAACUUCAAAACAAAAAAAAAACUAAUAUAGAGAUUUAUUCUUUGUCUAUGGGACAUAGAGUUGUAUCUCUUGCUGAUUUAUGGGUUGCAGCGACCUUGCAUUUCAUGUGGCAUACUGUGGCAGAGUACAUAAUAAAGAUUAACAAUUAAUUGAAGAAACAAAAAAUUUCAAGAAAUAAAAGGCUUUCAUUUUUUUUAAAUGGUAACUCAAUUUUUUUACAUCAUAAAACUAAAGAAAUUUAUUUUAUUUUGGAAAAUAAGUAGUUAUAUUGAUUAAUUAAAAACUAAUUAACAAUUUGAUAGAUGAAUAAAUAGAGAUAAUCAAAGUAUAAGAGUUCAAAUUUUAAGUUGUAUUUUACUAUUUUUUUAAUCCCUUUUUCCUUAGCUUCUCUCCUAUACAAUUCAUUAUUAACGUUCAUAUACAUUUGUCGCACUUUUUAUACUUUUGGGGACUAAAUUUUGCAUUUUCAUCUUUCAGAGAUGCAUUUGUUAGUGAAGCGGGAAGACGAAAAGUCAAAAAAAAUAUUAUGACAAAUAUGCUCUUAUCCUGACAAUCCACAUUGACAAUCAUUUCAGUGACAAAUUUGUCCCUCCGUGCCACGUAGGCUAUUUUAUUAACGGUGAAAUAUGGAAGUUAACGGUCGAAUAUAUUUGUCGCACUUUUUACACUUUCAGGGACUAAAUUUUGUAUUUUCAUCUUUCAGGGACACAUUUGUCAGUAAAUUACACAUUGAGAGACAAAAUUGUAAGUACAUAUGUUGUAUGGAGAUUUUGAUGAUGCCAAAAGAUUAAAAACUAUUCAACAUUGAUUCAAGUCAAUAUCAAGAAAUCAAGAGAAAUGAUUUACAAUUGACAUUUAUAUGUUAAAAGAAUCUCUUAAAAAGGUUGCAAAGGUUUGGCCUUAAAAGACUUAAGCUUUCAAAAAUCUUAUAAAGUUUUUAAGUAACAAUUACAUUUUGAAAAAUAUGUAUUUCUCUCUGGUAAUCGAUUACCAGAGGCUGUAAUCGAUUACCUGAAGCAAAAAUGGUUUUAACAGCUUUCAGAAAAGUUUGAAUUUGAAAUUUAAAAGCUAUAAUCGAUUAUCAAUAACAGAAAAUUUUGAAAUUCAAACUGAAAAGGCAUAACUCCUCAAAAUUAACUGUGUAGUCGAUUACCACAUAUCUGUAAUCGAUUACCAGUGAGGAAAUUUUGAAAAUAAUUCUAAAAAGUCAUAACUCUUCACAAGUUUUUUGAAAGGUCACCAAAGGCCUAUAUAUAUGUGACUUGUAUUCGAAAUUCUUCAGAGUUUUUCAGAACAUUCAUUGUCCUAUCCUCUCACAAGAAAACCUUUGGACAAACACUUGCAAAAUCAUUAAGGAUUCUUAUAAGUUCUUCAAGCUGUAUCAUUCUUCUCUAAAAGAGAAAAAAAAACAAUCUUCUGUAUUUCAAAGCAAUCUAUUGUUAAUCAAGAGACAAUAGUUCUCUUGAUUUGUAAAGUUUUCUUAACACAAGGGAAGGGUAUCCCUGGGUGGUUGAGAAGUUGUAAAGGGAUUUACAAGUAUAGUGGAAAUCUCAAGUGGAUUACUUGAGGACUGGACGUAGGCAUAGGGCGUGACCGAACCAGUAUAAAACUGAGUUUGCAAUGCUCUCUUCCCUAAACUCUUUACUUUAUUGCAGUUUAAUUUUACUUUGCAUAUUUAAAGAAGCAUCGAGUAAAUUGUUCAUUAAUUCUUUUCUACAUAUUAAGUCUGCAUAUUUCUUUUAAAGAGAAAAUUAAAAUUUUGUUAGGGGAAAUUUUUAAACUUAAUUCACCCCCCCUCUUAAGUUAUUGAGGCCACUUGGUUAACAAGUGGUAUUAGAGCAUAAUUCUUCUAUAAGGUUUAGAAACUUCAAGAAUAGUCAUGACCUCAUCAAACUUUUUAUUUCCCGAAAGGAACUUUAUAAAUAGGCCUCCUAUAUUCAAUGGUGUGGGUUAUCAUUACUGAAAAACCUGUAUGCAAAUUUUCAUAGAGGCUAUUGAUUUAAACAUCUGGGAAGCCAUAGAAAUUGGUCCUUACAUCCCUACUACGGUAGCAGGAAAUGCAACUAUAGAAAAACCUAGGGAACAAUGGGAUGAAGAGGAAAAGAAAAUGGUACAAUAUAAUUUAAAAGUAAAAAAUAUAAUUACAUCUGCAUUGGGAAUUGAUGAAUAUUUUAGAGUUUCAAAUUGCAAGAAUGCUAAAGAAAUAUGGGAUACCUUACAAGUAACCUAUGAAGGAACAACGAGUGUAAAAAGGUCUAGAAUAAAUACCCUAACCCAUGAGUAUGAAUUAUUUGGAAUGAAUCAAAAUGAAACUAUACAUGAUAUGCAAAAGAGAUUCAAACACAUAGUAAAUCAUCUUGCAUCAUUAGGAAAGAUAUUUCCCAAUGAAGAUCUUAUUAACAAAGUUCUAAGAUGUUUAAGCAGGGAAUGACAACCAAAGGUAACGGCUAUUACAGAAUCAAGAGAUCUUACUAACAUGUCUCUUACAACUUUGUUUGGAAAGCUUCAAGAACACGAAAUGGAACUCAUGAGACUAAAUCAACAUGAGGAAAAUGACAAGAAAAAGAAAGGAAUCGCACUUAAAGCUUCAUCUUCAAUUCAAGAAGGAAGUGAUAAUGAAGAUUUGAAUGAAAUAAAGGAAGAUGAUGAUUUUAGUUUCUUCGUAAAGAGGUUCAAUAAAUUUUUAAGAAACAAAGUAAACCAACGAAGAUCAAAUUUCAAACCAAAGAAAAAAGAAGAUUCAUCCUCUCUUCCAAAGUGUUAUGAAUUUAAUCAACCAGGACAUCUUAGAGUUGAUUGCCCAAGUUUCAAGAAAAGAAUAGAAAGAUCUGAAAAGAAAACCUUCAAUGAUAAGAAAGCAAAAAAGGCUUACAUCACUUGGGAAGAUAACGAUAUGAAUUCAUCCGAAGACUCAGAAAAUGAAGUUGCGAAUAUAAGUUUGAUGGCAAAAAAUUAUGAAAGCGAUGAAGACAUAACAUCUUCUAACAAUAACUUAUCUAUUUCCUUUGAUGAAAUUCAAGAUGCAUUCACUGAUUUACAUAAAGAAUCAGUCAAACUUGCAAAACUAGUUUCAUUUUCUAAGAAAACUAUUUCAAACUUAGAAAAGGAAGUUUUAAAAUUAAAUGAAGAAUUAGAAAAUCUUAGAACUGAAGUCAAAAAUUUAAAACCAAUUGACACAAAUCAAUCUUCCACCAUAGAAGUAAUAAAUGAUAGUAAAGAAGUAUCUAAUUCAUGUAAUUGUUGUAGCAAGUUUAUAAAAGAAAUCAAGGAUCUAAAAAAUUCUCUUUCAAAAUUUACUAUUGGCAAAAAUAAUCUAGAUAUUAUAUUAGGAAAGCAAAGAUGUGUGUUUGAUAACGCUGGAUUAGGAUAUAAACUUGAUAAACAACAAAAAUUAUAUAAAAAUUUAUUUGUAUCCACUCAAAAGAAUAGUUCUCAUUUCUUAACUUGUUUUUACUGUGGAAAGAAAGGACAUGGUUCAUCUACAUGCUAUUUUAGGAAAAAUAGUAAAUAUUAAAAUGAUAUGGGUUCCAAAAGGAUCUUUUAUCAAAACUAAAAUUCAAAGACCCAAGAAAGUUUGGGUACCUAAGUCAUAAACAUGAUCAUAUAGGUUUCUUUGAAGAAGAGUUGGUACAUUGAUAGCGGAUGCUCUAAACACAUGACGGGAGAUGUAUCGAAGUUCACUCAUAUUUCUCCCAAGAAUAGUGGACAUGUGACUUAUGGUGACAAUAACAAAGGUAGAAUCCUUGGAGUCAGAAAAAUAGGUACGAAUUCAUCUACCGCCAUUGAAAAUGUUCUACUUGUUGAUGGUCUUAAGCACAGUCUACUAGUCAAUUAUGUGAUAAAGGCUAUCUAGUAUCAUUUGACUCUCAUAAUUGUGUUAUUGAAAACAAACAUGAUAGAAAUAUAAAACAUAUAGGUUAUAGAUCAAAUAAUGUUUACAUGAUAAAUUUAGAUAAAACACCAAAUCAUGAUCAAUGUUUUCUUAGUAAAGAUGAAGAUCCUUGGUUAUGGCAUAGAAGAAUUGCCCAUAUAAACAUGGAACAUUUAAAUAAACUAAUUUCUAAAGAUUUAGUUAUUGGUUUACCAAAACUUCAAUUUGAAAAAGAAAGAUUAUAUGAUGCUUAUCAAAAAGGAAAACAAGUAAGGGUUUCUUUCAAAUCAAAGAAUAUUGUGUCUACAACUCAACCCUUACAACUUUUGCAUAUGGAUCUUUUUGGCCCCUCUAGAACUAUGAGUUUUGGAGGAAACUACUAUGCUCUUGUUAUAGUUGAUGAUUACUGCAGAUUUACAUGGACAUUAUUUCUCACUCAUAAAAGAGAUGUUUUUCAUGCUUUCAAGAAAUUUGCUAAAAUAUUCAAAAUAAUAAAAAUCUCAAAAUUGCAUCUAUUAGGAGUGAUCAUGGAGGAAAAUUUGAAAAUAAGGAUUUUGAAUCAUUUUGUGAUAAAAAUGGCAUUGAAAAAAAAUUUUCUGCACCUAGAACCCCUCAACAAAAUGGAGUUGUUGAGAGGAAAAAUAGAUCUUUAGAAGAGAUAGGCAGAACUUUACUUAAUGAUACAAUCCUUCCUAAAUAUUUCUGGGCUGAAGCUAUAAAUAUUGCAUGCUAUAUAAUGAAUAGAGCUUUAAUUAGACCAAUCGUGAAGAAAACUCCAUAUGAAUUGUAUAACGGAAGAAAAUCGAACAUUUCUUACCUUCAUGUGUUUGGAUGUAAAUGUUUUGUGCUAAACGACGACAAAGACAAUUUAGGUAAGUUUGAUGCAAAAUCUAAUGAAGGUAUAUUCCUUGGUUAUUCCUUGCACAGUAAAGCAUUUAGAAUUUAUAACAAAAGAACCAUGAUUGUUGAAGAAUCUAUCCAUGUUGCUUUUGAUGAAACUAACCCAAUUUUGCCAAGAAAGGAUACUCUAGAUGAUAUUUCAUAUUCUUUAGAAGGUAUGCAUAUUCAUGGUGAAGAGCACAAAGGAAAAGGAAAGGGAAAUGAUGAAGACUUUCAAAUUGAUGAAACAAAAACAAAUACAAAUCUUCCAAGAGAGCGAAGAACUUCUAGAUAUCAUCAUCUUGACAACAUCAUCGGUGACAUAUCUAAAGGGGUAACAACUAGACACUCUCUCAAAGAUGUUUGCAAUAAUAUGGCUUUUUUUUUCUUUGAUUGAACCCAAAAAUUUAAAAUAAGCCAUAAUUGAUGAACACUAGAUUAUAGCUAUGCAAGAAGAGUUAAAUCAGUUUGAAAGAAAUAAAGUUUGGGAAUUAGUUGAGAAACAUGAUAAUCAUCCUGUUAUAGGAACAAAAUGGGUAUUCAAAAUCAAAUUAGAUGAACAUGGAAUAGUAAUUAGAAAUAAGGCUAGGCUAGUAGCCAAAGGAUAUAAUCAAGAAGAAGGAAUAGAUUAUGAGGAAACAUAUGCUCCAGUAGCCAGAUUAGAAGCCAUUAGAAUGUUAUUAGCCUUUGCAUCCAUAAUGGACUUUAAACUUUAUCAAAUGGAUGUGAAAAGUGCCUUUUUAAAUGGUUUUAUCCAAGAAGAAGUAUAUGUGGAUCAACCUCCUGGCUUUGAAAACUCAGAAAAGCCUAAUCAUGUCUUUAAACUGAAAAAGGUUUUAUAUGGAUUAAAACAAGCCCUUAGGGCUUGGUAUGAACUUUUGAGUAAAUUUCUUUUAGACAAGGGUUUUUCAAAAGGUAAGGUUGAUACUAACCUUUUUAUUUAAAAGAAAUUGAAUGAUAUACUCUUAGUACAGAUAUAUGUUGAUGAUAUUAUUUUUGGUUCAACUAAUGAUUCUCUUUGCAAAAAAUUUUCUCAAGAUAUGCAAAAUGAAUUUGAAAUGUCAAUGAUGCGUGAGUUAAACUUUUUUCUUGGACUACAAAUCAAGCAAACAAAGAAUGGAAUAUUUAUCAGUCAAUCAAAAUAUUGCAAAGACCUGAUUCACAGAUUUGGGAUGGAAAAUGAUAAACAUAUGGCUACUCCAAUAAGUAUUGUUUGCUAUCUGAAUAAAGAUGAAACCGGUCAGUCAAUAGACAUAAAGAAAUAUAGAGGUAUGAUCGGAUCUCUUGUUUAUUUAUCUGCAAGUAGACCUGAUAUAAUGUUUAGUGUUUGUAUGUGUGCACGAUUUCAAGCAAAUCCCAAAGAAUCUCACCUUAGUGCAGUUAAGAGAAUCAUGAGAUAUUUAUUAGGCACUAUUAAUCUAGGAUUAUGGUACCCUAAAAAUUCCACUUGUAAUCUAAUAGGAUAUUCUGAUUCUGAUUUUGCCGGUUGCAAAACUGAUAGAAAGAGCACUAGUGGAACCUGUCAUUUCAUUGGCUCUGCUCUAGUUUCAUGGCAUAGUAAGAAACAAAAUAAUGUUGCUUUAUCCACUACUGAGGUGGAAUAUAUUUCUACUAGCAGUUGUUGUGCACAUAUACUUUGGAUGAAACAACAACUUUCUGACUAUGGAUUAAUUCUUGAUCAUAUUCCCAUUCAAUGUGAUAACACAAAUGCAAUAAACCUAUCCAAAAAUCUUGUUCUGCACUCGAGAACCAAGCAUAUUGAGAUUAGGCAUCAUUUCUUGAGAGAUCAUUUUCAAAAUGGGGAUUGUGUACUAGAAUUCGUUGACACAAAGAAUCAAUUAGUUGAUAUCUUUACAAAACCUCUCUUAAAAGAAACCUUCUUUGCUAUUAGAAGAGAAUUAGGACUCCUAGAUAUCAAUGACUUAGAUAAAUAGUUAAUUUGUUUGUUUAUUAUUUUCUUUUCUUAUGAUUGUUAAACUUUUGAUUGUCCUUGAUGAUUGUGUUUGCUUUUAAUGAUUAUUGUUGAUUGAGGUUUAAUGAUUGAUUUUUCUUGAGUUUUGAUUGUCUUUGAUGAAUAUGUUUUGAUAGUUAUGAUGAUUGUUAAUUGUUGUUGAUGAUUGUUGUUGAAAUUUUGAUUAUCUUUAAUGUAUAUGUUUAAGAGUUUUGAUGCUUGUUUUGAUUGUAUAUUUUGAUUGUUGAUUGUUAUUGAUGAUUGUUAUACUAAAUGUGUGUUUUGUGAGUGAAAAAUAGUUAGAUUUUUAUGAAAAAUCCAUGUCUUUAGGGUCUGGUAAUCGAUUAUCAUUCCCUGUAAAUCGAUUACCAUGAGUUGUAAUUGAUUACCAGAGGGCUUGGUCAGUUACGGGUUACACCUGUAAUCGAUUAUCAUGAGCUGUAAUCGAUUACAACUCUUCUCUGUCUAUAAAUACUGCAUUUUUCUCUCUCCUUGUGCAACCCUCUUCUCCUUCACUCUCCUUGACGGUGCCUCUUCUUCUCAAAACUUCAAAUCUCCAUAACUUUCUCAUUUCUUGUCCAAAUCACUUUAAACAAAGCUCAAAUUUCUUCUUUUUCAAUUCUCUACAAAGCCCACAGAUUAGAAUUUGUAGAAAUAAGCUCAAAUGGCAGAAUCCUUGAAGAAGAGAAAGGGAUCCUCCUCCACCACCACCGCUACAGGCCAAUGCCGCCACGGCACAUCCGGUGACCCACCAGCACUAAAUCCUCCUUCCUUUUCAUCUCCCUGGUCAUUAACUCUAUUUUCUUCUGAUGACCAGUGUCAAAGGUAUUAUUCCCAAUUCUCCAAUCGUGUCAUUCUCGAUCCUAAGUAUUUAGAUGUAGAAUUCUUUGAUGGUGAAACCUUUGAUUGCUAUCAAGUGUUUCAAAAUUCUGAAUUAGUUGAGUUUAUGUCUCUGAAAUUACCAUAUUAUCUUGAAUUAGUUAGAGUCUUUUACAAUAAUUUGAAAAUUCAGGAUGGAGUCAUUUUUUUCUAAGGUGCAUCAAAUCCCUAUUGUUAUUGAUCAAUCUCUAUUUUAUUCUUUGACUAAACUGAGUAGUCAGGGUGUUUCUUUUGAGGGCACUCUAGUUGAUGACUAGAAGCAUGUCUAUUCUAGUCAUGAUGCCCGUAAAAUGGUCUGCAAUGACCAUGCUGAUAUGACCGGCAGAUUGUUUGCUGAGUCAUUCACCUUUGAGUAUCGCAUCAUUUAAUCUUGUUAUGGUCUCUUCAAGCCAGUCGUCAAAUUGGUUGGGCCCAUCUUGUUAGUUAUCGAAUGCAUAAGGCAUUAUGGGCCAAUGCACCUCUUUCUUAUCCUCAUCUUGUUACUUUGUUUCUUCCACAUUUCAAUGUUUCUUUAGAGGAUGAACCUUUUGUUAAGGUUAAAAGAUCUUUUGCUAUUAGUGUUGGUGCUGUUACUUCUUUCGGAUACCAGAAGGAUAUGGAUGGCCAAUGGAUGACAUAAUGCAUGAUGCGAUACUAAGCUACGAGAUCUUCAAGCAUUUGUCGGCGAUAGCUUCAAUGCCAUGGACUCCCGUAUCACGCGUCUUAAAGACGACAUGAGCUUCAUCUGACGUUGCUUUGAUCCUCCUAUGGAUUCUUAGACGUUUCUAGUAUUAUCAGUUCUUAAUUUUCUAGACAUUUUUCUAUUUAUGCCUUGUAUUUGGCUUUAGUUAUUUAGCACUUUGGUUAAUUUUGUGUUUUGCUUUGGAUAUUUAGCUUUUGUUUUGCAAUGGAUGAUUGUUUUUUUUAUGAUGCUUGCUUUAGAUAUUUCGUGGCUUUGAUAUUUACUCCGGUCUUUUUGGCUUUUUGAUGCUGCCAAAGGGGGAGAGAAACUAAGGGUAGAUCUUAUCUAAAAACUAGGCAAUAAAUUGCAAAUUUAAGGGGGAGUAAGGGUGAGUGCACGCAUUGCAAAUCGUAUAUCGUUUAUCUUGUUUUCAGAUUGUUGUCAUCAUCAAAAAGGGAGAGAUUGUAAGUACAUAUGUUGUAUGGAGAUUUUGAUGAUGCCAAAAGAUUAAAAGCUAUUCAUCAUUGAUUCAAGUCAAGAUCAAGAAAUCAAGAGAAACGAUUUACAAUAGACCUUUAUAUGUUAAAAUAAUCUCUUAAAAAGGUUGCAAAGGUUUGGCCUUAAAAUAAUUAAGCUUUCAAAAAUCUUAUAAAGUUUUUAAGUAAAAACUACAUUUGUUAAAAUAUGUAUUUCUCUCUGGUAAUCGAUUACCAAAGAUUGUAAUCGAUUACCAUAAGCAAAAAUGGUUUUAACAGCUUUCAGAAAAGUUUGAAUUUGAAAUUUAAAAGCUAUAAUCGAUUACCACUAUUGUGUAAUCGAUUACCAGUAAUGGAAAAUUUUAUAGAGGAGGAAAAAAUGCAGUAUUUAUAGAGGAGGAUUCAUACGUUCCCCUGCUUUUGGGCUGUCCAUUUAUGCUCACUGCUAAAUGUGUCGUGGACAUGGGGAAUGGUAAUCUAGAAAUGAGUGUGGAGGACCAAAAGGUGACAUUCAACUUGUUUAAAGCGAUAAAGAACCCCAAUGAUUGCAAAACCUGCUUCAAGGUAGAGGCAGUUGAGUAGGGAGCAGAUUAUGCUGUGCAAUGUUUCACUAUUCAUUCACUGCUGGAAAAAGCCCUAAUGAAUGCCAUUGAAUGUUUGACCAAUGAUGAGGAGAAGGAUCUCAGGGCUUUUCUAGAAUAUUUAGACAGGUUGAAGGAGAUUCCCUCAUAGGAAUAUGCUUUUGAAGAAUUGAAAAAAGACUCUACAUUAGAGAAGCCUAAAGUUGAGUUGAAGGUCUUACCUCCUCACUUGAAGUAUUUUUUUCUUGAGGCAAAUGAUGUCAAACCAGUAAUCAUCAGUAAUGACUUCUCUUCAACUUAGGAAGCACAAUUAGUGGAGGUACUUAAGAAGUAUAAGGCAACAAUAGGAUGACACAUCUUUGAUCUUAAGGAGAUCAACCCAUCUUAUUGCAUGAACAAAAUCAUGAUGGAAGCUGAUUAUAGACCGAUGAAACAACCGUAGAGGAGACUCAACCCAUCCAUGAAGGAGGAAGUGCGAAAAUAAGUCAUCAAAUUACUUGAAGCAGGACUUAUCUAUCCGAUCUCUAACAAUGUUUGGGUGAUUCCAAUCCAAGUGGUUCCCAAGAAAGGCGGUAUGAUAGUGAUAUGUAAUGAGAAGAAUGAUCUCAUCCCUACACGGAUAGUCACCGAGUGGAGAAUGUGUAUAGACUACCACAAGCUUAAUGAUGCCACAAGAAAUGAUCAUUUCCUUUUGUUGUUCAUGGACCAUAUGUUAGAGCGGCUAGUUGGACAAGCUUUUUAUUGUUUCUUGGAUUGCCCCUUCAAUGUCUUUGCUUACAGAAAGAUGCCAUUUGGAUUAUAUAAUGCCCUUGCCACCUUCCAAAGAUGUAUGCUAGCCAUUUAUGUUGAUCUUGUAGAAAAAUGCAUUGAGGUGUUCAUGGAUGAUUUCUGUCUUUGGCUCUUCCUUUGACCACUGUUUAUCCAACCUGGAAUCGAUGUUACAGUGGUGUGUAGAAACCAAUUUGGUGUUGAACUAAGAGAAAUUCCAUUUCAUGGUCUAAAAGGGGAUUGCCUUAGCCCACAAUAUCUCAUCCCAAGGGAUUGAAGUGGACAAGGCAAAAAUUGAUGUUAUUGAGAAGUUGCCUCCACCUGUGAAUGUGAAAGGCAUCCGAAGUUUUCUCGGGCAUGCCAACUUUUAUCGAAGGUUCAUAAAAGAAUUCUCCAAAAUUGUCAAGCCAUUAAGCAACCUGCUGAACAAGGGUGAAGUGUUUAAGUUUGAUGAAGAGUGUUUAUUGGCUUUUCAAACUCACAAGGAGAGGCCUAUGUCAGUGAUGUGAUUCUUAUUAGGGACGGAUCACUUGGUACAGGUCACGAAAUCGAAUGAUGCCACUUUCAGAGAUGGAAGAUAAGUCAGGGGUAGAUGCCACAAGGAUUCAACCUUGAUAAGUCCAGAAUUAGCUUGAUAAGGAACCCAGAGAGAAGCUUUCACGAAUACACAAGGUAUUUUCUAAAAAAUGCCAAAAAGUACCUUUCCUUCCAAAUGAGUUGAAUACAUAUAGUAUAACAUUAAAUUACUACAUUGACUGAAAUUGGUGCAGUUGAAAAGGCAUAGGAUUCAACUACCAAUUUAUUUAAUUACAUUUACAAAAUUGAAAAUAUUGGAUUCUUGGGAGUGUCUCUGGGCCUUCGUUCUUCUCCACUUGGGCCUUGUCAAGUAUGGUUGCUACCAUUUGUUGGAGGGCAUCCUUUGAUUGUUUGGUCCAAUCCCUGGUUAUAGGUCCCUGUAUUUGGGCAGCUUUGGGAUUCUCAUCAGUCAGCCCCUGUGAUUGUGGCCCCAAAUUGGAGUCAAGAGUUUGCGUUGAUUUGUGAUGCUAGUGACUAUGCAGUGGGAGUAGUGCUAGGACAAUAGAGGAAUAAGGUGUUUCAUUAAAUUUAUUAUGUGAGCAAGGUCCUAAAUGAUGCACAGUUGAAUUAUGCCACCACAGAAAAAGAGUUGCUAGCUAUUGUAUAUGCAUUUGAGAAGUUUAGAUCAUACUUUAUUGGCUCCAAGGUCAUCAUUUUCACAGAUCAUGCGGCAAUUAAGUAUCUUCUGACAAAGGUUGAUUCCAAGCCUAGGUUGAUUAGAUGGGUGUUGCUGCACUAAGGGUGCGAGAAUUUGGUGGCUGAUCACCUAUCUAGGUUGGUGAAUGAAGAAGUCACUCAGGAGGAGAAAGAGAUUCGUGAUGAGUUUCUAGACGAAUCCCCGUUGUCUGUGAGUGAGUGGCCUUGGUUUGCAAACAUUCCCAACUUCAAAGCAAUUGGAAUCAUCCCUAAUACUCAUAAUUGGCAUCAACGAGAUAAGUUUCUCCAUGAUACACAUUAUUAUGUUUGGGAUAAUCCUCAUUUGUUCAAACUUGGAGCAAAUAACUUGCUAAGAAGGUGUGUCACUAAGAAGGAGGCCAUGAGUAUAUUGUGGCAUUGUCACAAUUCUCCCUAUAGAGGACAUUAUAAUGGGGACCAGAUUCUUUUGGCCCUCUAUUUUCAAGGAUGCCUAUGAGCAUGUGUUGCAUUGUGAUCAGUGUCAAUAAACUGAGGGUAUUUCUCGAAGAAAUGAGAUGCCCCUGCAAAAUAUUAUUGAAGUAGAAGUGUUUGAUUAUUGGGGUAUUGACUUUGUAGGUCCUCUGCCAUCCUAAUACAGUAACGAAUAUAUACUGGUGGUUGUGGAUUAUGUAUCAAAGUAGGUAGAAGCUAUUGCUGCUCAGAAGAAUGACACUAAAACCAUCAUUAAGUUCCUUAAGAAUAACAUUUUCUCCCGCUUUGUAGUCCCAAGAGUACUCAUAAGUGAUUUUGGGUCAUACUUCUGCAAUGCAUAACUGCAGAAGGUCUUGGGGCACUACAAUAUCAGGCAUAAGGUUGCUUCUCCUUAUCAUCCCCAGACAAAUGGUCAAGCUGUGCUAUCCAACAGGGAAUUAAAGAAGAUCCUUGAGAAGACUGUUGCAUCUUCAAAGAAGGAUUAGGCUGUGAAAUUAGAUUAUGCCUCAUGGGCCUAUAGAACUACUUUUAAGACCCCAAUUGGUUUGUCUCCAUUCCAGAUGGUUUAUAGGAAGACUUUUCACCUCCCAGUAGAGAUGGAGCACAAGGCUUAUUAGGCACUCAAGUUCCUUAACUUUGAUGAGUCCUUAGCGGGGGAGAAGCAAAAGUUGUAACUACUGGAGCUGGAAGAAAUGAGGCUCAAUGCUUAUGAAUCCUCCAAAAUUUACAAGUAGAAGAUGAAAGCCUAUCAUGACUAGAAGCCGAUGAAGAAAAUCUUCCAGCCUGGACAGCAGGUUCUACUGUUCAACUCCCGGCUCAAGCUUUUCCCUAGAAAGCUCAAGUCCAGUGGUAUGGCCUAAUCACAAUCAAAGACAUGAAGCAUUAUGAAACAAUUGAGCUGAUGGACCCCUCUUCUACUAACUAAGAGCGUAACUGGAUAGUGAAUGGCCAAAGGUUGAAAGUCUACAAUGGUGGCGAUAUUGAUAAAUUGACCACCAUCAUCCACCUCCAUGACCUGUGAGGGUGUUUUACGUCAAGCUAGUGAUAUUAAAGAAGCGCUUACUGGGAGACAACCCAGGAUUUCUAACCUUAUUCUUCUGUUAUAUUAAUUCAUGUUGCUUUGAUCUAUGCAUGUGAAUUCUUAUGUUUGUGAAUAUUGAUUAACUUUGGUUACACAUUGACUUUCAAAAAUUAUGAGCUUGUUGUUGUUGUAGUGUGAUGUCUGCUCAAUUUUGGGUAUGCUCUGUAUGAUUAAUGUGGUGUAGUUGGUUAGUGUUUAAUGGUUGGUUGUUAUGCUUUGAAGAUGGUCACCUUACGCUCAAAGCGUGCUAAGCACAAGUGUGUUAUUAUGAUAGUUGUGCUUAAUUUGUAAGUCACACUAAGCCCAAAAUCCUCUCUAUUUUGGAAAUUUUCAAAUUGGGCUUAGCACGCACAUACUCGCUAAGUGCACAAAUUAGUUUGCCAAGACUCGCUUAGUUGUUGCAUCGCGCUAAGCCCAAAAACCUCUCUGUCUUGGGUCAAUUACUAAUUGGGCUUAGCGUGCAGGUGUAGGCUUCGCUAAGCGACCAUACGCGCUAAGCUAUACUAUGUGAAUGUAUGAAUACAUGGUUUUGAUGCUGCCAAAGAAUUAUCACAGAAGGUUGCUUUCAAGAUUACUUCAACAAACAUUCAAAGGUUAAGCACUGCUUCAAGACUAAUACAAGGUUGCUUCAACAAACAAGCAUUGCUUCAAGAUUAAUUCAAGAUCAAGCUUUUGCCUCAAAACAAGUGUUUCCAAGAGAUCAAGGCUCUGGUAAUCGAUUACCAGGCAGUGUAAUCGAUUACUAGAAGACGAUUUUGAAAAUCAGCUUUUAAAAAGAGUUUUGAAUUUGAAUUUUGAAUCAUGUAAUCAAUUACCAGAUGUUUGUAAUCGAUUACUAGCAAUGACACUUCAAAAAAUACUUUGAAAAGUCACGACCCUUCAAAAUAUAAUUGUGUAAUCGAUUACCAGAAACCUGUAAUCGAUUACCAAUGAAGAAUUUCAGAAAAACUUUUUGAAAAGACACAUCUCUUCAAACCAUUUUGAAAAGGCACGAAGGGCCUAUAUAUUUGUGUGUCUGACUUUGAAAAUCAAGAGAGAGAUAUUCUAAGAGAACUUAAUUUCCUAAUGCUCUCUCAACAACUCUUGGGCAAACACUUGCAAAUCUAUUGAGAAUUCAUCCAGGAACUUCAAAUUGUAUUAUCAUCUCUAAAAGAGAGAAAAUCCUCUAAGAACUUCAAUUUGUAUCAUCCACUAUAAAGGAGAGAAAUCUUUCUGUUCAUCUCAGAAAGUCAGUUUUAAUCAAGAGACAUGAGAAUUAUAAUCAAGAGACGGGUUGUCUCUUGGAUAAUCUUUGAACACAAGGGUGAGGGAUCCCAAGGUGUGUUCAAAGUAUGUAAAGCAUUUACAGAGAUAAUGGAAAAUCUCAAGUGGGUUGCUUGAGGACUGGACGUAGGCACGGGAAGUGACUGAACUAGUAUAAAUCGAGUUUAUAUUUCUCUCUUCCCUUAUCUCAUUUAUGUUAUUGCAAUCAAUUUUGUCUUGCAUGUUUAAAGAACAUUAUUAAAUCGAUUACUGCUUCUUCUUUUGCAUUCUGAGCCUAUCAUUUAGAAGGGGGUUAAAAGUUUGUUAGUGGGAAAUUUUGAAACUUAAUUCACCCCCUCUUAAGUUAUUGAGACCACUUGUCCAACAUACUACACCUCUGUAACUUCAAUGCAAUAAUUGGCUACGCAUAACAUCACAGGCUAAGUAAGCCACUUGUUCUUGCUAAGCACUCAUAGCCUGCUAAGUGAAAGUUGUAGGCCAGAUUUCACCUGCAACUCUAGCUAAGCCAGAGAGGCACGCUUAUCCCAAAACACUCUCAGGUUAGUAAUUUCAUGAAUUGGGCUUAGUGCUCGAACAUGCGCUAAGUGCGGCCUUGUUUAAAAAAAUUUGAAAUUCAAAAUGAAAUAAGAGGGGAAAGACCAAAGGACAUCGUCAUUGGUGUGAUAAGCGGGUCAUACUCGUUAAGCACGAGGACCAUCAAUGCACCUGCAAGUGUUAGUGCUUGUAGGCUUAGUGUGAUUCUCGUGCCAAGCGCACAAGCCAUAACAACAGAAUAGUUUUGAAACAACUCUGUCUUCCUUAUCUUUUGCCUUCUUUUUUUCUUCAUUUUUCCCACGAACAUUUCUUCCCCACUCUUCCACUUUCAGAUAAAUCUUCUUUUGUCUUCCAUGCUUUCAUUGAGCUCUCUUGCUUCCUCAUGCCCUCAUUACUUUUGUUUUGUUUUUAUUUUAUCUCUCUAUGGCUCUGCAUGUGUACUUGUUACUUGUAUUGCACUCCCAUGUUUUUUAUGUUGUAUAUGUAGUCCUCGUUAAUUUUGUUUUUCUGUAUACUUGUGUUCAUGCUUUUUUAUUUCUAGAAAAGUCGUGAACUCGCUAAGCCAGACCUUUGCGUUUAGCGAGCUCAUGCAUUCUGGGUUUUUGUAUGCAUUUCUAGAAUUUUUUAUGAACUCGUUAAGCCUGCAUCCCGCGCUUAGCGAGUUCAUAUGUCUAUGUAUUAAUGUGUAUGCCUUCCUGGGUUUGUGUUCUUUAUCAUUUAAAUGUUCAUCAAUAGUUAGCAAAUCUGGAAUUUCCUAGACUCUAUCGCUCAUUAAGCGAUGUAUGCACUAAGUGAGCACCUUGUUUCUGUGUUUUUAGUAUCUGAGCUUAGCGUCGUUUACGUGCUAAGCUCACAAGUCGUUUCAAUUUUCUAUAAUUCCUUUUUUCUUCUUAUGCAUGGGCUUAGCUCCAAUUAUGCGCUAAGCCCUAGUGUCUUUUUGUCUUCCCAUGCACGGGUUAGCACAUACCACGUGCUAAGCCAAAUCAUUAAUAAAUAUUGUAUCACUUGGGCUUAGUGCGUACCCUCGUGCUAUGCCCAAUUUCUCCUCUGUCUGAUGAUUGAGCUAAGUGUAUUGUUCGCGCUAAGCCCAAGUUUUAUUUUUAGGUCCCAAUUUUGCAUUGGGCUUAGCAAGCCAAUCGUGCUAAGCCCAAAACCCUCUUUGUUCGCUUAUUUGCAAUGUUUGGGCUAAGCGCGUAUCCUCUUGCUAAGCCUCUCCUCGCUUUUGCUAGAGUGGUGCUCAGCACCUAGAUGGGAGCUUAGCACCCAAUCAUUGCAUGUUUCCUUUACUUUUACCUUUUUACUUUUACAUUUCACUAUUUAUCUUUUUCUUACCAGUUCUUGUUGUCUUUCUUUUUGCAGAUGGCCUCUAAGAAACGUCGAGCUUCCACCAGUAGACCUCAGGGGGUGGAACCCAUAUGGGACUCCACCAGAUUCACAUUGGAGGUGGCUUGGCAUCGAUAUCAGAAUAACAUUCAUCUUUGAAACAUUUUUAUGGAGAGGAACAUGGAGUUGGCUUACACACAGUAUGACAAGUUUUUGGAGGAGGCACUGGCACAGGAAGCUCACCUGACUGCCGGAGAAAAACAUUGAUGUGGCACUUGUGAAUGAAUUUUAUGCAAAUAUCUAUGACCCAGAAGACGGCUCGCCCAAGCAAUGCAAAGUGCAAGGGAAGCUCAUCCGGUUCGACGCUUAGAUGUUGAACACCUUUCUGGAGACACCGAUAGUCCUUCAGGGGGGAGUGGUACCCCAUUUUCUCUCAAUUCCUCCACGUGUAUCCCGACCAUCAGGCCAUUGCGGCAAAGCUGUGUACGCCGGGAGGCCAACUUAUGCUAAAUGCCAACUUAUGCUAAAUGCAGCAGGGCCCUCUUAGAAGAUUCUGCAAAAAGACUUGACCACUCUAGCUCAGACACGGAGCGUCCUUUCUUACUUUAACUUGGCUCCCACCUCCCACACCUCAUACUUGAACAUGGACUAAGCCCAACUGAUAUACGAGAUUAUUAUGAAGAUGGAUAUGGACUUGGGCAGUAUGAUCUCCUCUCAAAUCACUCAGAUUGCCCAGUCCAACUUUUCCCAGCUUAGUUUCCCUACGUUGAUCACCGCCCUCUACGAUGCCAAGGGAGUUUCUUCAAACACCUUGACCUUUGAGUUCCUGAGCCCCAUCAUCAACCUUGCUUAUAUCUAGAAUAAUUGUUGGAACCUAGCAUAUACUUUUGUGGUUUUUUUAAGGCCAAAUAAAGCUUAGGCUUGUGCCAUUCCAGAUGCUCCCUCCCUCGGUCCCACCAUUAGUCAUCCUUCCUCCAAUCUCCACUCCUCUUUCCUUUCUCUUUACUCCUCAUAAGUAGUUUCUUCCCAUGAUGACAAAUCUUCAUUAGGGACAAUAUUUUCUUAUGCAGAGUCUUCAUCAGAUCUUCCUUUAUCAGCAGGUUAUGACGCCAGAGGCCUUCCUCUACGGGGGGGGGGGGGGGGGUUGCUGCCUCUAGAGCUGGAGCUAACGUAGGACCAUCUGGUGAGGAUGAUGUUGUAAAGGCCUGAGAUGAUGAUGAUUAUAUCGUCGAUGUCUAUUUACGCCCCAGUGUUACUUGUUAUUAUGGAUGCGUAAAUCUAACUGGCAAGUGUACCAAGUCAUGCAAGUAAUAAUAAAACGGUAAAAACUGAGUAUCGAUCUCAGGGAACUUGUUCAUUUGGUGAACUCUCAUUCAAUCAGCAGACAUUUGUACAAAGAAUCAAUAAUCAUGAAUCAAACAAAGAUGUAUUAUACUCUAAUGAUUAAUAACUGAAAAUAUGAGCAAGUGGGUGUUAAAAUAGAUAAUUAAAAAUGUCAGGUCCUCCUACUGAGUUACUUGAUGCAAUUAAGAUUUUUCUCUAUUUAAAAAUGUUCAUGUGUUCUAUGCUGAGGACAAAAUUUUCAAACAUCGAUGUCUUGCAUGAUUGGGCUAACUCUAAUUAAACCUCAUUCUCGGAUGUCUCGUCGAACUUAGCUUAACUGAACAACAUUAAGGUCACAGCAUAAUAAAACUAAAUUACCGCACUCUGUGUCCAGACAUACGAUAACCUAGCCCAUUCUAUCUAGUUCUAAGGAUGUUGCACAUUUUCCAAUGCUAAAGCUCCUAACUUUACAUACAAAUGGGCGAUCAAGCAACAAGCAUGCAGCACAGAUAGAAACAUUGAACACAUAAAAACAACUUUAAAUAGAUAGGAUAAGGAUUUACAUCAAGUUCUUAGCAGAAUUCCCCAACAAGGGGUUUAGCCUUCCAUCACAAGGUAGCAUCUUUCACAAGCAGGAAAUGGGUUUUCAGAGAAGAUAAUAGAUUACACAGUGGUGGGGAUGUCUCCUCCACCUCUAUGAACCUACAAAAUAUCCUAAAACCUAUAAUCCUCCUAAAAGCUAAGGUUUUUUGCUUCCUUGCUCUGUUUGGCGCCUCUAUUCUUUGCUCUUCACACUCUAUCUGCCAAGCUCUCUCUUUUCUCUUCAUUUUAGGCUUAAAAAGGGCUUUUUGACCUCAAAGGCAUGCUUAGCGCCAUUUUCGCACUUAGCGCGAGUAAGUGAUAUUUGGCUGAGCGAACCAGGCGCGCUAAGCGCCAAAAGAGACAGAUGACUCGUUGGGCGAGUUGAUGACGCGCUGAGCGCGUGCUUGCAUGACAGAUUCCCUUCAAGAUUCUUCUUACUCGUUAAGCGAGCUGCUGCCUCACUAAGCAAAUGAUACUCGCUAAGCACACGGUCUCGACUUAGUGAGACAGUAGCUUCUGCACCUUCCAAUUAUUCUUCUUUUUACCUGAAAUUGAAGUGAAAUUUACAUUAAUUUCAUGUGAAGAGCCUCUACUGAGCAAAGAUAAAAACUAAACAAGAAAUAUUUACAAUCCUACAAAACGAACCAUAAAUUGGGUAAAAUAAAUAUUUUGGAAAACUUUUCUAUACAAAAGUUAGUCGUAUAUGACGACUAACAAUGUCACAGCUGCUCAGGGAGCAUGAGACCCGUGACCGACACAGGAUUAGGGCCAUCUUUUUAUCAAGACUUCUCUUUAUUUUUCGUAUUUAUGACGGUUAUUUUGUUGUAGUUAUUUUUAGUACUUUUAAUUUACUUUCUGCAUUGUGGACAACAAUUAAUGAUAUGUUUUGGGUUUGGUUGAAUUGACACUUUUUGGAGGCAUGUUUGGCUGAAUCGAUUGCAUGAAUGAGAUAAAGUGUGUACUGACGAGUAAUGUUUUGGAAUUUCUGAUUUUCGAGUGAGCACGCGUUGUUGUUGAGUGAUGGGUUGUGAAUUAAAUAUGCGUGAGUGAGUCGGUUAGCUUGCAUGACAGGAGAUUGUGGAUGAAAAACUAAAUGCUUUGCAUUACCGUGUGAGUUUUGUGCACCAUAAUUGCGAGAGAACGAUUGAUUUUACUUUCUCGAUUUUGCAUGAUUCUUGAUAUUCUUGAGUGCAUACUUGAUGUGGAUAUAAUAAAGGCCUUGUUGUUUAUUUUUAAUUUCAGCCACUUAGCCAAUAGUUAACCCUGUUGUAAAUGAAUGAUUGAAUCCCUUGCACCCUCUUGAGCCUAAAUGUGAAUGAAUUUUGUCAUUAAACCCUGAGCUAAAUGCAAAUGCUAAUGUUGUGCACCCUAUCUUAGGUUAUAAGUGAGCAUUGUUAUGGAUCGAGCUAAAUUUGUUCCAAAUUUAGGGGAGUGUCUUGGGUAAAUUCUAUUAUAGGGAGAUGAGUAACAAUUACACAUAAAACCAUAACUACAUUCCUUGGUAGUGCCUAAAAAAACUGAAAGCAAAUGUAUAUCAAGGAAUCCAUGUGUGAUGUUAAGUGUGGCAUGAUAAUAAAGGUUUGAUGGUUACGAAAAUAGAUAGGGAAUGGGUGAAUGCUCUCCUAGAACCUAAGUGUUUGAAUCUGAGAAAAACCAUGAUUUCCUUGUUAACCCGACCAUGUUACAAGCCUAAUAAAGUCCUUAGUGAUCCAUAUUAUGUGUGUGAUUGCAUUGGAUGAGAUGAUGUGCAAAUUUGAGAAUUGUAACUUCAAUUGGUUUGAAUGAAAUACAUAUAACUGAAACACUUGUGUGCUUGAGAGAAACACUAUCUUUUUGAGGUGUGAAACAUGGUUGAUCUUCUUUGAUACCUGUCAUACUUGCUAACUUAUGUCCCCCCCACCCACCCCCCCCUCCCCCCCACCCCCCCAAAUUUCAAUAACAUUAUUAUUAGUAUUUGUUUAUCAUUUGUACUUUGUGUUCAAUUUUUUAUAGACUCUAAAUUAUAUAUUUAAUCAAAAAUUAUAAUUUUUUUCAUUUUUAUUAUUAGUAUUAUAUGUUAUUUUUUUAUAUUUUAUUAUUCUCUCUUUUUGAAGUAUAUAUAAGUACAUUUUCAAUAAAAUACAUUUUCACUUAAAAUACAUUUUGAAAUCCUAAAAUGUUUUAAAAUGCUUUUUGAUUUGGCCAUUAAAUUAUGUUAGAGAUCACUUUUGUUUUAUGUUUGCAUUAUAGGCCACCAACUUUUUUGUAACUUAAUAAUUUAAUAUUUGGUUAUAAUUAUGUGUUAUUGACAUUAUCGUUAUUUUUUUAUUUAUUUUAAAAGUAUUGCACAAUAAGAUUGAAACGUUAAAGUGACAAUAAUAUAAAAUUAACAUGGAAAAAAACCAUAUAAAGUACAUGACAAUAUUAAAACAUGAAAAAAAAAAUAAUACAAAGUACAUGAAAAUGUUAAAACAUGCGGAAAAAAUGUAAACCCAUUAUUAAUCAAUCAUAACUAUAUCUGUGAUGCCUCGACGAAGUCCCACAUGGCCGGUCCCAGUUUCUAGCUGCCCUAUCAGGAUUUCUUCUUCUACGAUUCGCCCUUUUAUCCACUUGGUCAGUCUCGGCAGAGAAAUCAUGACGUAAAUCGACCCCUAAUAAGUCGUCCAUGUCAAGUACAUUUCCAGGUACAUUCCACGGACGAGCAAGUGGGACAUUUGGGGUCGAUAGUUCACCACUUUGGAAAAAUGAAGGAGUUCCCGUUGAAGGAGGAGAGGACCCAAAUAUGCUGCCAAACUAUACCCUGGUUGAAAAUCAUGUUGGUAUGAAUACAUCGGUGGCAUCUGCGACGGUUCUUGGGUGAAUGUCGACGGUGUGUAAUACAUUCCAUGUUGUCGUUCUGGCAUCGGAGGCAAACUGUACAUUGCUACAUCAACAGUUUCCCAACGUCGCACUAAGCCUCGAGUCUCCACACUUCGCUAUAGUAUAUUAAACUGUUGAUGUUCAAAUUGUGGCUGAGAAGGGGGAGCAUCUUCAUGUGCCUCAAGUAUCCUAUACUCUUUGUCAGACAAAAGAGUGAUCUUCUCGAUACAUGACAGUAAAUCUUCAAAAGUACAAACCCUUCUCCCAAUAGGCGACAACAUAAAAUGUAGUGUUUCGGCGAUUUCACCCUGCAUAGAAAAUAAAGGAAUAGUUAUUAAAAUAAUCUUCAAUAAGCGCAACAUUGUUUUCUAAAUUAUAAUGAACAAUGUAUACCAAUAGUCCUCUUUUUGCAUGUUUUGGGUCGACAUAAACUUUUGUUUUACGCCUGUACCACCUCAUAUAUUCAGAGUUCAGACUAAGGGUCUCUGUUUAUGGCGGUGUUUGCUCUACUCUCCUUUCAUAGCUACUAUUCCAUUCAUUAAGCGCAGGUUACAUUAGUCGCAUCCAAUUUUUUCCUUCCUUUCCCUUUAAUGUCAAGUCAUGUAUGUUGUUGGGUUGCAUUACUGGGCCUGGAAUCGGCUGGUGCCACUCCACUUUUUGAAAACAAAUAAGUGGUAUGAUACAUGUCCAUAAUACAGACCCAAAAAAACAAACUUGACUCAAAUUCAUUUCCACAUGUCCAGAAUAAGGGACCCAGACAAACUGCAUAUAAAAGUUAAAUUUAAUAAAUUAAUUAAGAAUUACAACAUCAUUUAAUAAACAAACGUCAAAAUUGUUACCUCGUCGCGUUUCAUGACAUCUAAUUUACGACAAAAAUCAAGUAAAUUGUCAUUGCCUAUGUGAUGAAAUUCACCUCCCAACCAUUUUCACAAAAAAUUAAAUAACAAAAUAAAAUGUUACAUAAAAUAAUGAUUAACAUCAAUCAACCAUAUUUAUUAAUAAUCAAUUCAAAUUAGUAAAGGAAAGUAUACCUGAAGGCAAGUGGUGUGUUUUGUUGUUGUGGAGGAAUAACUGAUGGGGCUAACGUUGGGCAUCGUUCCCAUGCCCAUAAUUGAAUCAAGAGAGUGAAACCGCCUAUUGAUUUAGCAUUAUAGUCCGUUGCGAUGAACAUCUCUCUAUAAAGGUUACCCAACAGAGCAGCUCCCCAUGCAUAACUGCUACACUCUCUAAGGUUUCUCAAAAACUGCAAAUAUCUCAUUGGCACCCUUUUGCUGCUUUUGUCAACAAACAUCACCCCACCUAUGAAUCUUAAGAUCCAAGCACGAGCAAAUCUUUCAAGCCCUUCUUGGUUGCAUGUAAAAUCAUGAAUAUUUGCGAAAUGAGAAGCCAGCCAACUCAAUAAAAGUGAGUUCUCAUCAAAUGCAGCAUCGUCAGGCAUGACACCCAAUAAUUCAUGAUACAACUCAAACCAGUCAAUAUUUGUAUUUCCAAUUAAAGGUCUUCCAUCCACAGAAAUACCAAGUAGCACAGAAACAUCUUGAAGUGUAAUAUUUGCCUCCCCACACUUCAAAUGAAAUGUAUACGUUUCUGGCCUCCACCUUUCAAUAAAAGCAUUAACUAAUGCUCCAUUUACUUUCAACUGCGCGCCAAUUUCAUUAUCGGGUACAAACCGAAACUUGUAAUAGAGGAAUAAUUUCGUCGGGCGGUGCUUCUCUAUGAUUGUACAGUGGUGUAGCUCGUCGGAUUUUUAACAUCCUAUCAUCAGCACCAUUCCAAAUAUGCUGUGAUAUAUGUUUUUUUUGCAUCCACAAUAAAUCAUCCUCUAAUGGUCCAGAUGCCUCAUCAUACUGAAUAUUCUAAAAAAAUACAUAAUUUAAAUUUUAGAAAUGAACAUGUAAUUUAAGUAAAUGAAUUAUAAUGACAGUAAAUUGAAAUAAAAAAUUUCUUCAAAAUUAUUUUUUUAAUAUAUAAUGUCGAAGGUAGGUUAAAGAAAUUUGAUUUUAUGAAUUGUACGAGAUACAUGAAAUAAUAAAAAAGAAAACACACACACACACACACACACAUAUAUAUAUAUAUAUAUAUAUAUAUAUAUAUAUAUAUAUAUAUAUAUAUAGCAGCAAUUCAGGAAAGUGGAAUGAGACUUCAUUCUGCUUAUAAUUGAUACUAUAGGCCACUUCACAUUGAGGAAUUUUUUUUUUAAUUUUAACUUUUUAUUUUAAAAGUUAUUAAUUAUAAUUUAGAGUUUGAUUUUAAUUUUAAACUAUUGAUAUAUUGUAUCAAACUCAAUAUGCCUUUAUUUUUUAAAUACGCCCAAUAACAAUAUUACAGUAAUAUUUAUUAUCAAUCUUAAUUAAAAUUAUAUUCUAAAAAUUAAAAUUAUAAACCCAACAACAACAAAGUCUUACAAUUACAAAUAACAUAAAUUAUAAUUAAUAUCAUUAAAUAUUAACAAAAAUAAUAAUAUAAUAUUUAAAUAAGAAAUCAUAAAUAACAAUAUUAUUAUCUAUAAUUAUCUUCAACAAUAAUUAAAAUUUUUAUAUUAUUAUAAAAUAAAAAAUAAAUCUAACACACAAUAAAACUAACAAUAUUUAUUUCUACAAACAAAUUCACUAAAAUACAUAAAAUGCCUACUCUAUAGUUGUCUUUCCAACUGCAUUAUAUCUGUUUUUACCAACUGCAAUCUUAGCCCUUAAAAUAAUAAGUUUGUAUUGUAAAACAAUAACAGAAACCAUUGGAUCGAAACUGCAACCGCAGUUUAUAUUUGAACUCCAGUGGAUUCAAAUCCAGAAAAUAACAGAGGCAAUCAUCAACCUCAUGUUUGACCAACGACUGUAAAAGAAAGUUCUCGAUAAAACUUUGAUCAGGUAAAUACGUGUAGGAACUAGAACAUAUAGAAGCAAUCACCCCCUCAUGUAUAACCAAUGGGCAAUGGCUAUAAAUAGGCAACGAUGAUUCACAAGUGAAGCAGGCCUUGCCACAGCAACUUAACAGCCAUACCGUUCAUAUAUCUCUUUGUAUUACUAUUAUUCUAUUGAAAAAAAAAAUCGUCUUACAAUAUCUACUAGAGAAAGAGUUUAAAAAAUAUAUAAGUAGAAAUAACUCUCAUCUUAUAAAAUUGUAUGUAUUCAAAUCAUUAAAAUACAUUAAAAUCGAUACUCCAGCCCCAAAGUUGAGUGAAAUAAAAUAAGAUCUCAUAUUUAAUAGGUUAUAAGCUCGAAACCUCAUUCAUCUGUUUAAAAUGAGAUAAAUAUUAGUACGUCUCUCUUUACGUCUUUAGACUUUUCCUAUCUUAAGUUGGGAUAUUAUUCUCUGCCCUUAAAUUUUCCUUAAUAAAAAAAUCCAAACACUCCAAAAUUUUCCUGUGUUUUGUGGUCUAUUCAUUCUAGGAUAUAUGGAAAUAGGUAACAUAUCAACUUAUUGUUAAAAAGAACAAUGACAUACAAAUUUUAGAGAGAAUGUAUUUUUUCUUAAUAUUCAAAUUCAACUACUGCAGUUACAAAGUUACAAUAUAUAGACUACUGUAGUUACAAUAUAUAUUUAAAACUACUCCAUAUAACUAUUCCACAUAACUCCUAUUUACAAGAAACUACCACUAACUUCUUAACUUCUAUUAACUUCUAUUUACACGUCAACAUUUCCUCCCUUAAACUAAAAAGAAAAACAAACAUUUAGUUUAUAACUGACGCAUCAACCAUUCCCAGCAUACUUCGUAAUUUCAAGAAUUGUUUUAACUCUUGAGAGGUUUUGUCAUUAUGUCUGCAACCUGUUCUUGAGAAUUACAGUAACUCAACUCCACAAUUUUGUCUUUGGUCAAAUCUCUAAGAAAAUGAAACCUUAUAUCAAUAUGUUUGCUUCUGCCAUGAAAAACAGAAUUCUUUGAUAGUUGUAUAGUAGAAUUAUUGUCACAUUGAAUCAAAGUACUACUUUCCUCCUUAUGACCAAGUUUCUCUAAAACUCUUCUCAACCAAAUACACUGACAGGCACAAAACGCAACAGCUAUGUACUCAGCCUUAGUAGUAGACAAUGUCACUACAGGCUGUUUUUUAAAAGACCAUGAAACUGCUCCAGAACCAAGUAAGAAUACAAAGCUAGAAGUGCUCCUACGAUCAUCGAAAUCACCAGCAAAAUCACUGUCGGUGUAAGCCACCAAAUUUGUGCAACCAUCCUUUUUGUAGAAAAUUUCAAGCUCAGUUGUACCUUUCAAAUACCUUAAUAUUCUUUUUGCUGCAAGCCAAUGAGAUUCAGCUGGGCAAGACAUGAAUCUACUAAUAAGACUCACUUCAUACAUCAAAUCAGGUCGAGUUGCAGUCAAGUACAUCAGACUGCCAACUACCUGUUUGAACAAAGUUUCAUCAACUUUGGUUCCUGCUUCAUCCUUUGACAAUUUCGUGCCUGGAAUAAUAGGAUUCUUCACUGGAUUGGUUAUAUCCAUUCCAAACCUUCCUAGAAUUUCAUGAGCAUACUUUCUUUGACACACAAAAAUCCCAUCUAAACUUUGUAUUACUUCAAUCCCGAGAAAAUAUCUCAUCCUCCCCAAAUCAAUCAUGUCAAAUUCCAACAUCAUGGAAUUCUUAAAAUCAUCAUACAUACUUUUAUCAUUUCCAGUAUAUAUUAAAUCAUCAACAUAAAGACUUACUAUUAAAAUUUUACCUACUUCCUUCGACUUUGUGAACAGUGUGUGUUCACAUAAACACCUUUCAAACCCUUCUCGAACAAAGUAAGCCUCUAUCUUGCUAUACCACGCCCUUGGUGCUUGCUUCAAGCCAUACAAUGCCUUUCUUAGCUUGUAAACUUUGCCUUCUUCACCUUUCUUCUCAUAUCCCAAUGGUUGUUGCACAAAGAUUUCUUCAUUGAGUUCACCGUGAAGAAAUGCACUCUUUACAUCUAGUUGAAAAACAUCCCAAUUGUUUUGUGCUGCCAAAGCAAGUAUUAAUCGAAUGGUGUCAAGUCUAGCAACUGGAGCAAAAACUUUAGUAUAAUUAACUCCAUACUAUUGUGCAUACCCCUUCGCCACUAGCCUUGCUUUGUACUUGUCUACCUCUCCUUUCUCAUUAAGUUUGGUCUUGAAAACCCACUUAACUCCAAUUGGCUUCACCCCUUUCGAUAGAAUAGUUAACUCCCAAGUCUUGUUCUUUUCUAUUGACUCUAUCUCUGCCAUCAUUGCAUCCCUCCACUUCUUACUCUUGACAGCUUGUUCAAAUGUAAGUGGGUCAUCUUCAGUGAGCAUUAUCAUAGCAUUCAGACCAUCUUCAUCUGACAAACCUUCACCUGUUACAUAGUUUAUUGCCCAAGAUGGUGGUCUUCUUACCCUCCCUUCAUUCAGAAUUGGUGAAUCAUUUUCAGUUGAUUCACUAGAAGAAACACCAGUUUCACUUGAGUUUUCUUGUAUCAACAUCACUGCCUUCUCCUUCAAUGUUACCUUCUUCUUCAUUGUUUUCUAUUCCUUCUUCCAUGUUAUUCUCAUCGCCAUCAUCGUUCCACUUUAAAACAUCUGAUAUGCAUUCUUCAUUGCUUUUGCCCCAAUUCCAGCAUUCAUCUUCUUGAAAAAUCACAUCCUUGCUAAUGAUGAUUUUCUUGGAAAUUGGAUCAUAUAAUAUGUAUGCCUUUGAUUCAUCACUUACUCCAAAGAAAACACACUUCUUGCUUUUUUCAUCUAAUUUGCUUCUCUUCUGGUCUGGGACAUGUGCAUGAGCUACACACCCAAAAACUCGAAAAUAAUCAACCAUUGGCUUCACAUUGCUCUAUGCCUCUUCUGGAGUUUUGUUCUGCACAGCCAUAGUAGGACAUCUAUUGAGGAUAUGCACACUCCAUUUUACAGCUUCGGGCCAAAACAUUUUAGGAACCUACUUCUCAGCUAACAUAGAACUCACCAUGUUCAUUAUCGUUCUAUUUUUCCUCUCUGCAACUCCGUUUUGUUGAGGAGUAUAGGCUACAGUCAAUUGUCUACUAAUGCCUUGAUUUUUGCAAAAUUCUACAAACUCAUUUGAGGUAAAUUCACCACCUCUAUCUGUCCUCAAAGAAGAAAUAUAUGCACCGAUCUCUUUUUCAACAUGAGCUUUAAAAUUUCUAAACAUGGAAAAAGCUUCUGAUUUUUCAUGUAAGAAAUAAAUCCAAGUUUUACGAGUGAAAUCAUCAAUAAAACUUAGGAUGUACCUCUUGUUGCUAUUUGAUUCUGGUUUAAUAUGCCCGCAUAUGUCUGCAUGCACAAGUUGUAACUUGUUUGAUGCUCUCCAUAAACUCUUCUUAGGCAUAGAGUUUCUGUGUUGCUUUCCAGUUAAACAUUCUAUGCAUAUCUUCUUUGGAAUCUUGACCGAAGGCAACCCAAUUACCAUCUUCUUAUCAAAAAGUGUCCUCAAUCCGUUAUAGCCUAAGUGACCAAACCGGCAAUGCCAAAUAUGAGAUUCAUUUUCUGAUACAAUUUGGAAACACGAAGAAGCUUUUGGUAUCAUGGUAGCCAACACAGAAAACAUUCUAUUUCCACUCAUAUCUGACUGCAUAAUUAAUCCUUUCUGAGAAUGAUAUACCCUACACUUCUCAUGUUGAAUCAAAAUAGUUAAGCCUUUUUCUUGAAGUUGCCCUAUGCUCAAUAGAUUAUUCUUAAGUUCAGGAACAUAAUAGACACCAGAAAUUGCCUGAGUAAAUCCAUUCACUUGCAUACGAAUGAUACCUUUUCCCACAACAACCAUUCUGGUGUUAUUGCCAAGUUUUACAGUUUGGCUAAAGCUUUCAUCCAGUUCUGAAAACCACUCCUUGUUUCCAGUCAUAUGAUUGCUGCAACCGGAGUCAAGGAACCACACUUCUUCUAUUUUGUCUUGCUCCAAUUCAACAUAAGACAUUAAUAACAAUUCUUCAUCUUUUUCCUUCUCUAAUUCAACAUAAUUGGCAUUUUUCUCCCAAUCAGGACAUUCAUAUUGAUAGUGUCCUAACUUGUGACAUUUAAUUUGAAACAUUCAAUAACAGCUUUAUUGAAUGAUUGUCUUCCCCUUCCUCGACCUCCUCUGAAUGAACCAUUACCUCUACCUCUACUUGCUUUGUCUUCAUGGGAGAUCUUCAGAACCUGCUCUUCUUCUCCACGACUUCUCAUCCUCUGCUCAUGAACAAGAAGACUACUUUGAAACUCAUCAAUAGUCAUCAUGUCUAAGUUGUUGGAUUCUUCAAUUGAGCAUACCACAUAAUCAAAAUUUGAGAUCAUUGAUCUCAAAAUCUUUGCAGUAAUGACUGUUUCACUCAUACUUUCACCAUGAGCCUUCAUUUUGUUGGCUAUGGUUAAAGUACGAGAAAAAUAUGCAUUCACUGUUUCUCCUUCCUUCAUUUGAAGAAUCUCAAAAUCUUUGCGUAAAGCUUGCAGUUGAGCUCUUUUGACCCUAGUUGAACCUUGAAAUUUUUGCUUCAUUGAAUCCCAUAUAUUUUUUGUCGUGUCCCUCUUGAGGAUUGUUUCAAGGACUUCACGAUCUAUUGUUUGGAAAAGGUAAUUAUUUACCUUUAAGUCCUUCAACUUCUGCUCCUCGAUCAAUUUGCAUUGUGUCUCCGUAGGCUCUAUUCCAUCUGCCACCAUCAAUAUCCCAUUCUCAAUGAGAUCCUAAUAUUCUUUGGAGCGGAGAAAAUUCUCCAUCAACAUUGCCCAAUGAUCAUAAUGACCAUUAAACCUUGGAAUUGCAGGCUGCACGAAACUGCUACUCCCACCUUCUGCCAUUCUUCUCAACUCGUUCUACUCGAAAGAAAGAAAAACUGCAGUUUCUUUCUUGACUCACACUCACUGUUUUUCUCACAUGCACUCAAUAUCAGACCCCUACAAUGGAGCUCUGAUACCAAUUGUUAAAAAGAACAAUGACAUACAAGUUUUAGAGAGAAUGCACUUUUUCUUAAUCUUCAAAUUCAACUACUGUAGUUACAAUGUUACAAUAUAUAGACUAGUGCAGCUACAAUAUAUUUAAAACUAUUCCGCAUAACUACUCCAUUUAACUACUUCACAUAACUCCUAUUUACAAGAAACUACCACUAACUUCUUAACUUUUAUUUACACGUCAACACUUAUGUGGUCUAUUUAUCAACUUAAUCAUGACCACUUAGAUAUUAAUUUUGACUCUUUUUAUUUAUAAGAAUAGAAGAUAAAAAGUUUAUAAUAAUUUACAUAUUCGACUCAAUCAAAUAAGUUAGGUCUUUUGAUUAAUUUUGACCUAUUUACUUACUUUAUUUAACAAACUAACAUAUAAGUGUUGAGAACUUAUGAACGAUGGAAGUUUUCUGAACUUGAGCAAAGGAUUAUAUAUAUAUAUGGAGUGAGGAGAGAAAACAUCACAGAAAGCAAGUUUUGCACACCAAAGUACUCAUUCAUUAAUAGCAAUAUAUAGAUUCUUCACAACCACGCACCACUCUCUUGGUAUAUAUGGAACACGUAUAUAACCCAUAUUACUUGGUGGUGGGGCGCUUCAUACUUUUAUUUAAUACACAAACAUAACACGGGUAGGGAUGAAAACCACAUCACACGAAGAUCACAUAGCUGUUAAUAAUAAUAACAACACAUGCAACAUAAAACCACGCACAUGAAGUGUAGUGGCUUCCUCUUCGUUAGAUUGGAAACGCCUCAAUGAUGGAAGGAAGAGCGUUGAUCUUGAUGAUGUUGUAACGGGCGAAACCUGUUUCUUUGAACAGCCACUUCCAGUUCUCUUCCGUCCUCUCUUUGCCGCCGGCGUUGUGAGCGAGAAGCAUCAUGUCAAAUGCAAUGCCAACGUCGGUGAAGAGUUCGUUGCCUUCGGGCCGCAGCACGUGAUCAACGAUGAUCACUUUCCCUGUUUUCUCUGGUAUUGCCUUCCUGCAGUUCUUCAAGAUCUUGACGCAGUGCUCGUCGCUCCAGUCAUGCAGAAUCCACUGCAUAUAUAUAUUCACCCCAAAGAAAAAGUUUUGACGGGUAAGUGCCCAAAAUACUUGACGUGUAAUAAAAGACUUCACCAUAUAUCAUAUACUUGAAAACCCCACUAAUUAUAUAUGUUUGAUAAAAAAAAAUUGUGUUUUUAUUUCUUUAUUACUACCAUAUAACAAUAUAGGAUUUAAAUUCACUGCAGUCAGUCAUAGUUAUGUUCACCUAAUUUUAAUCAAAAUGUAGAAGUUUGAACAAAUUAUUUUUCUUUUAAAAUACUUAAUUAACCUUCAUUGUUUUUCUUUAUUUUUUUUCAUUUUAUUACUUCAUAUCACUUGUCGUGUUUAUAUUUUUUUAUUUCUCUCUCUCUUGAUCACUCAGUAAGUGUUAACUAAAUAUUGAAAAAAAAAGUAUUUGAACACCCAAAAAUGGCACCUUGAGAGAAAGAUAGAGAGAGAAGAGAAAGAAAUAAUGAUACCCUAGAUAAAUGUGAUACGAUAAGAAAAGAGAAAUUAAGAGUAUUUGAUAUUUAAAAAUAUUAAAAUAUUGGGACUCAAAUAUUUUGAGUGUCCAAAUUUCACCUUUUCCAAAAGUAGUGUGUUUGGAGUGUUAUAAUGCCCUUAGCACAUGCAAUUUAAUAAGAUAUGGUAUUGAUAGUUUUUGAUACCUUCAUGUAAAUAGCAUCAGCAUCUGGAAUGGACACGAACAUGUCACCUCCAACAUGGGUGAUUCCAUCAUACUUAGGAGCAGUGGCAACCACAUGAGGCAAGUCAAAGUUGAUGGCAUUGAUGUGAGGAUAAGCCCUAACAAUCUCAGAAAGAGACCCUCCAAUGCCACCUCCAACAUCAACCAAGGACUUAAUCUGGUUGAACCCAUCUUUGUACCCAGUGAUCACAGCCUUGGACACAACCCUAGCAGUGCACACCAUGCCCUCAUUGAACAAUCUAUUAUACUCAGGGUCCAAACCUGUCAUCUCAAAUUGCUCAUGGCCAUGGCACUUAAAGAAAGCAGUGCCAUUUUUAGUGCCUUCUCUAAUAAUCUCACUAAUGUAGUGAGCAGGGUUCAGGUGAAUUGGGUGGUUCUCCAGCAGCAACAUGGGUGCUAGGGUCAUUUUUGUGUCGCGGAGGAUCCACUUCGAGGCACGUGUCAAGCCGUAGAGGGUCUCUCCAGUCUCUGAUUGUUCUGCACUGAAGAUCUUUCUACGUACCAUCACUCUCAUCACUCUCUGUAGAAGAGAGGCAUCUGGGGAGGGUGCAUCAUCUAUGUUCUCCACGAUUUGUGACAAGGAUAGUGGUUUCCCAUAACGGUCUAUUAUGUCGGCUAUGCGCAGCUCUAUGACGGAUUUCAAGGCCACGGAGUCCGUGAAGCAUGUCAUGUACCUCCAUAUUUCAACUUGCCCUAGCAAUGAGUCUUCCUCCUCCUUGCUCAUACCCUGAUGGCAAAUAUAAGCAAACAGAGAUGUAAGAAUAUAUAAAAUUAUUUCUUUAUAUAUUAUUAUUUAAUCACAAAUAGUUAUAUAUUAUAAAUGAUUUAGUUUUAUAUUAAUUACUUAAAAGUUAUUCAUUUCUUGUUGACUAAAACUUAGUUUAGCUCAUAUAUAAUAUAAAGUUAACAGAAAAAAAAAAGGUUUUGAUGGUAUUAUGUGCAUGACAUGAACCCAAAUGUACAAAAUGUACGUGUGUUUCAAAUAGAGACGCAUCCAGCAGCGUGAAAAUAGUGUAUAGAGAACUAAUGGAUGCAUCAGCAUUUUUCUGUCUGCAAAUUGAAGAACAAAUCCAUCUAUCUCGGCCUUUUCUUAUUGUCAUUAAAAUAGAAAUGAAAUUAUUAAAAGCUUGAUUUUCUUUUCUUUUGCUGAUCUAUCAAUAUUGUUAUUAAUUAUUAAAAAAAUGUAAUAACGGCUCACUCUCUUUUUAUGUUAUGUGUACACUAGGAUGUUAUAUUAACAUAAUCUGCUAUCCAGGGGUGGCGUAUGACUUUAGUGUGCCAUUAACAUGGCCCUUCGAAGAAUCAGUAAAAUUGUGUAACUCCGGCUUAAUACUGUCACAAUUUUAUUUUUACAAACAACUCGAGAGAAGCAUAUGAUAUUAACUAGCAGAAUCAUAUAGGGAUCAAACUAAUAAUUCAUUUGAAAUACUAGUUUAUUAUUUACAUAAUUAAUAAUCUAUAUUAUUUAUAAGCAACGAUCAAAUUUUUGUAUAAGGAUGUAAACAAAUUGAGAGAAUUUACAGUACUUAAUACUUUAAAUUUGACUAAUAAGAAAACAUGAUAAAUGCUUCAUUUAUUUAUAUGAGAAAAAAUAUAAAUCCUAACCAAUUUCUUAGUUUUUCAUCUCUUUGAAUAAUUUCUAAAUUUAUCAGAUAGUAUUUGGCAAACACUUAUAUACACACACACAUUCAUAGUCAUAUUUAUAGAAAUUAUAUCUAAGUUUGAAAAAUUCAUUGUGAUCUGAAAUCAUUAAUAUUUGGAAGUCAUAUUAAAUUUUUAUUUAUUUUUAAGUGGGAGUACUAAUUUAAAAGAAUAAAAUUCUUUUAACACCUACUUUCUUUGUUUAUGAACUCAUAUUUGAAAUCUUAUCUAAAAAAUAAAACAAAAAUAAUCUUACUACGCACUCAAACCAAUAUACAAUAUAGGUGAAAUAACAUUUAACAGUGUUUGUACAUGUAAGCUCGAGCAUUUUUAAAUAAAUGAGUCAUAAUUCUUCUUUAAAUGAAUGAGGUGUUUAAAAGCUCUUACUUAUUUAGAGCAAAAACUUAAAGACCAAUCAAUUAAUAGUUUGCCUAUAUGUAAACAUCUGUUUUUGAUUACCAUUCAGAUUAAUUUGCCGGUGUUAGCAAAACUGACAAUCCUGUGCGUAAUUUUAAAGAAAACAAAUUCUAAAACUCGGUAUUUGUUGUAUAUGACCAUGCAUCCCUCGAUAAUUUAGUGUCUAGGCCGGAUUAUCACUUCACAGCGCUCUACACAUAUUCUUCGGGGAAAAGAAAAAUGAAAAUUAGGUGUUUACACAAAUUUUUCUUUUGUUCCAAAAAUCUGACGUGAAAUUACCAAGAAAACAUAACUAAUUAAAAGCAAAGAACCACAUAAGUACUUCUUCCUAAGCUAAUUCCGAUGUAGUACUACAAAACAAGGUAUUCAAUCCAAUUCCAUUAGUAACUCCCCAGCAGGCAAUAUAUUACAACGUUGUGUUUGGGGAUGCGAUGAUAGUUCCAUCCGGAUAACCUCCGGCUUCGCUUCAUUUUUGAACGAAAACAUAAAAUCCGAUCAAUAGGGACUGUAAAAAAAUAAGGGAGGGGGGGGGGGGGGGGGCCCGGGGGGGGGGGGGGGUUAAGGUUUACUACUCAUUAAUGGGUUAAAAAAUGUUUCUAUAAAUUCGAUGAAACUGGAAUUGUUCAGUCUAUUAAAUAGUAUUUUUUAUAAGAAAAGUCUAUUAAAUAGUUUUUUUUUUAAGAAAAGUAUAUUAAAUAGUUAAAUAUGAUAGUUUAGUGGAAUAAAAAUGAAAAAACAUUUUCAUAAAAAAUUAGGGGCAGAUCCCACAAAAAUCAAGUCUUGAGAAACUUCAAAACUUAUUUGAAACUAGAAAGCAAAAAUUACAUAUUAACUUUUUUGACUGAAAAAAAAUACAUAUUAAUCGAUGUAUAACUCAUUAUUACUGAUUAUUUUUUUGUUGUUAAUAGAGUUUCGUUGGAGAAAUAAGAAACGAAUAACUUUGGUAAAAGAAAAAAAACGAAUAACUUAUCAAUUCUUUACUCAUUUAAGUUAUAUUUUUAUACUCGACCUAUUAUGUAAUAAAUCAUAAUUAAUUUUUUGUAAAAAUAAAUCAUAGUUAAUUGUCAAUAAACACUAUUUUAGGGGCAUUGUAUUUAUUGUAUACAUCAUAGUUUGUAUAAAAUAAAAUAUUUUGAAACAUUAAGAUUUUUUUAAUUUGAUUAUUUAGACGUACUCAUGAAAUUAAAUAUUUUGAAGACAAUAAAUAAAAUUCUUAACCUGUAUAGUAAUAUACAAUUUGAAUAGUUUGUAUAAAAUUUUAAAUUCAAACUUUAAACAUAUUUUAAUCAGUUCUUCAGUUUUUCAUGCAUCCCCGUGAGCGGGUUGCUAGUAACCAUGAAAAGGUAAUUUGGUCGCAUAUAUGCAUAUAAAAGUUACAAGUUCUUAGUAAAAACAUCCCUUCCUCAAAAUAAUCAAUAUGUGAAAAGUUAUUGCCACAGGUUCACCAAUAAAAUCACUUUUGUGCAAAAACAUUGUGCCUGUUUGAUGAUCCAUAUGUUUUCUGAUGCUUAGAAGAUCUAUUGAAGUAAGUUUGAAAAACGACUCUGUAAUGACUCUUUUUUUCCAAAUUGUUUACAAAAUUUACUUUUUAAAAUAAAAAAUAAAAACUAAGAGAGAUUUUCUCUGAAAAAUGACAUGAUUACUACAAACAGAGUUUUUUUUUAACUCAAAGUUCUCUUUUAGGGAAAAAUCACCUUUUCAUUAUAAAAAAUCUCCCGACAAAAUCUUCAUAAUAAAGUAUUUUAUAAAGAGAAUAAAUUAAUUUUAUCACACAAAUAAGAUUUCACAAGAGGUGGUUACACAGUGGUCAACAAUACUACUUGUUUGGUUUUCCCCUUCCCUUAAAUACAUAUAAAAGAUCCAAAAUCAAUGCUUGACACUAAAUAUUCCCCUCCAUGAAAGAAAUAUUUGCAAUCACCGCCAUACAUAAUCAGCAAUUUAAGCUCAAUGGUGCCCUCUAUGAUUGCAAUCACAGUUCAAAAGAAAUUCCAUUUCCAGAAGAGUUUCUCAAAGUCCUUAUUCUCUCAUAUGCAUUGCUGCCUAGCGAGAGAAGUAUAGAACUCGAACUGGAGAAGGCAGGGUAGUACUGGUCCAGGGCCACAAACCUCAUAUAUUCAAACCUUAGAUCACUGAUUAAUUAACAAAAGUUUGAAUAAUAUGCCAAAAAAUUAAUCAAUUUAUAACUGACAAAACUGUAAAGAAACUAAAAAGACUUUUUUUUUAUGUAACAAUGCAUGCAAAUUGUCCCAAAUUUAAAGAAACAGAAAGAAUAUGUCAAUGAUCAACUAUACUCAUCAGAAAUCAGAAAAAUAUGUGGUUGCUUCAACAAGAAACAUCAAAAUGACUAGUAAUUUUUAAAAAUUGAUGCAUAUUAUAAUGGUUUUGGCUCAGUGUCAAAGGGGGCAUCAAUCACCAAUGAAAGCCAAUGCCUAUGACAAAACCCACCAUAAAGGCAUAUCAUACUCUUAAGCCUUACCUCUAUCUUUCCCUAUAAAAUGUAAGAUGCAUAUUAGCACAAUAAUUAACCCAAAUUACUAAUAACUGCUGGUCAUGUUGUACUUUACUAAGUUUAUUAAACAAAAUACAAAUCUUUUGGAUCUGUAUAGUGAGUUCACUGUGCAUUAAUCUCUCUAUUUAGGGUAACUAUCAAACAGUUCUAAUAUAUAAUAUUGACACAUAUAUAAUAUAAUAAAUAACAUGUGAAUUCCUCUCAUGACUUUGUGGUUUUUAGAUAUCUUCUCAAACCAUCAAAGUGGGGGUCGAACAUGAUAUCAAAUAAAAUAAAGGGUACAUACUCCACAAAAUUACAUAAACAGGCAGAGAGAGAGAUACAGUAAUUAAAUUUCAAUUCCCAUUAUUAAGAUUAUUUUAGUGAUGAUUAACCAUACAGUUGGCUCUAUUUCUACGCACCUUGAACUCCAAAAGGUGGGGAGUCAUUGAAAAGAACAGUCUCCAUAUUCUGUGGAAUUCUAAGCAAAGAAAUCAAGAGGUUUCAACUUGGUGCUCAGUGCAGGAAGCCUUUCCCUUACUCACAACAAGGCUUCCAGUGAGUGAGUUCAGUGGGGUGUGUGAAACUGGCUAGGAAAUGAACGGUUAAUAAAGAUGAUAAGGUAGCAUGAUGUGUGCGGUUGAGAUUCACCACACAGGUUUCCAGGAAUGAGCAAUUGAAUUAUUGAGAGGCUAUGAUACUAUGUGAUGGAUGAGUGUGUGGUUCAGAUCAGAACCAAUAAAGUUUGUGUUCUGCUUUAGAACAACAUUAUUGGUACUGUAAGGACACAUUAACCGUGAAAUGCAGCUUUCAUGAAUUUCAGCCAGAUUUUAUGCAUGAUAUUGGAAAGUGACUCAGUCCAAUGUCUCUUCUAUGGUACAGUUUUCAAAACAUUAUUAUUGAUAGAUUAUGCCUUUCUUCUAUCACAAAGUUUUAAAAUAAACAUUGUCAUUGAUAGAUUAUGCUAAUCUUCUAUCAAAGACUUUUAAAAUAAACAUCAUUAUAGAUGGAUCAUGCCACAUGUCUAUAUGGGAUAGCUUUGAAACAAACAUCAUUGUUUUUUUAUUUGUAGGAAUUCAAAAUAAAUACUAAUAACUCACGCAUUAUUUUCAACUAACUGAGUGAAUCCUCUUGGUACAAACAUCAUUGUUUAUAGAUUAUGCUACUCACUUAUUAGCUCAGAUUUGAAAUAAACAUUAUGUGCCAACAAGCAUUAUUAUUGAUACAUUACUUCUAUAAUGAACAAGAAGACUCUUUUAUAGCAUGUGUAAAAUACAGAAGAACUUGAUCAGCAUAUAUAAUUAAAGACAAACCUGGUUGUCACAUCUCCAAUUUUGUACCAUCUGAAUAUUGACACGUUAGAGCAACAGAACAUACUAAGUACAAACCUACGCCUUCAAUAAUGCAAAAGGAAUUGGUCUUUUUAGCAAUGAUAUUAACAGAUACCAACUACCAAUGGAAUCAAUACCACAUGGUGCAAUGAUGAAUGUGACUACUUGUGUCACUUAGUGUUUUUGUUUUCUUAUGAUCAAAGUGAAACGACAGUGUAAGGGAUUGUGACCACAAUUGCAGUUACCUCUGCAAUUUUCAGCAAUUUUACUACCAACAAGAAGAGCAAUGCAACUACAAUUUAAGACCUUGUCCUAAACAACAGAGACAAAUUUUGUUAGGCACACAUAUACACCUACCGUGGU
This 79599-nucleotide long non-coding RNA is filed under the name Glycine max (soybean). Its description in RNAcentral is "long non-coding RNA (GMAX_LNC002622)". Lineage: Eukaryota; Viridiplantae; Streptophyta; Magnoliopsida; Fabales; Fabaceae. The record is from RNAcentral.